CACCACCAGACGGUGGUGGGAAUCCUCCUCCAGGAGGAUUUGUUAUUGGUGGAAAAAUUCCGGGAGGGUUUAUUAUUGGUGGAAGAAUGCCAGGUGGCCUUGUGAUUGGUGGUAGGAUGCCAGGUGGCCUAGUGAUUGGAGGGAUUACAACAGGAGGAUUAACUAUAGGUGGUAAAACUCCAGGUGGCGGUCUAGUCACUGGGGGUGAAAUGCCAGGUGGACGAGUGAUCGGAGGCGAAACGCCAGGUGGACGAGUGAUCGGAGGUGAUACGACAGGUGGAGGAAAGACGAUAGGUGGCAAAACCUUAGGAGGUGGCGGUUUGGUGGUUGGUGGAUGAGGACGGGGAGUCGAUGGUGGAGGGUGGGGUCUACCGGGAGCCUUAGGUGGAUGAGGGUGAUGAUGACCUGGAGAUUUUGGAGGAUGUGGAGGACGCGGAGUAGUGCCAGGUGGACUAGGUCGUUGGUAAGGUGGAUAAGGAGGAGUACAUGGGCAUUGACCAGAUGAAGCAUAAGCUGGUGGUAACAAACAUAUUGACAUGAAAAUCAUACACAUGUAGAACAUUGCUGAAAUCUUUGAUGAACCCAUAAUGCCUCCUCCAAUUUUCUUCUUCUUUUGGGGUUCUAAAAGUGUGGAUGCAUUAUAAAAAAAAACUUUUAUGUUCUUGAUUUUUCUUGUACACUAUAGUUUAUAUAGGUGAAUAUAUGUGUAACCCGUGAAGGGUUAUUACUUGAAAUUGAAGUGAGAGAGCAACACGUAGGUGGAGGAAUUCCAAAGUGAUAGGUGUUGCAAUUGAAAUGAAAACUUUGGAUCUAUGUUCUUUCAUUGCAAGUUGCAACCUUCAACAUCCAAUCCGUGAAUACUGAUUAAAUAGUCCGUGAAUAGUUGCUUUUAGUACUGUAUUUCACAAAGUGUUCAUUUUGCACAGAUUUUAAGGCACUUCAUGUACUGUGCAUUACAUAUUGUAUUCUGGAGUUUCUCCUAAUUUGUUUGGAUAUUGAAUCCUCCUACUAGAAUGCUAAGCUUGAAAGGGAAAUUAAAUCUGAUCUUCUUUUCUAUCGUUCUGAAAAUAAUUAUUUGGUACUUCACAUAACUGAAAAUACUAUGACAACAAAAUAUUUUUUGUUGUAUAUAUAAUAAUAAUAAAUAUUUUUUACACUAUCAAGUGUCCCAAAGAAUAUCUACUGAUAACUCUCGAUAUAACUUUAACUCUUCUUUAAUUUUAUAGACCAAAAACAUCGGCCACAAACGCCUGCAUUCUAUAAGUUACGCUGUAAUCUGAAAUAUUAGCAAAAAAUCUCAGUUUAAUUUGAUUGAAAUGUCUCUUUAGCUUGCUCUAAAAAAAAAAAUCAAACAGUAAAUAGUGAAGUAUUCGUCUUGUUCAUUUCACCAAGGCAUCAUGUGAACCUUUCUUGAGAUUCUUUCAACUUCGAGGUUUCAGUCUUUCAGACUGGAAAAGGGAGCAAAAGAAAAACUUUUAUUUUGGCCUCCACAGUCCACACCAAAGACGAAUAAGUAUGACGAAAAAAUUAUUGCAAUAAUUACCACUCGAUCUAUUGACUUUGAUAUUUAACACAUAUACUAUUAGUUUGUUUGUCUACUUUAACAACAAUAACAACAAAAAUAAAUAUUCAGUGUAAUUUCACAAGUAGAAUUCUCAAUCACAAAUAGAAUUUUGAGAGUUGAUCGGAUUUCGUUUAUCCAGACUACUUUACCCUAUCUUUGUGGAUAAAAGUUGUUUCCAAUCGACUCUUGAUUCAAGAAAAUCGUUUUUUGGGAUAGACUUGAACAACAUCAUAUACGAGUGAAAUAAGUCAUGAUGAGCAUAUUGAAGAAAAAAACACUGAGAGUAUAUAAUCAAUGUAUACACAUUACCUCUCCAAAAAUGAUUGAUAAGCUCAAUCAUCCAAAAAAGGAAAAGAUAUAUACACCUAUACAUAACCUCUUCCAUUAUAGGAAAGUAAAAUCAACUAAUAAAAAUAUUAGCCUUUGUUAAUUUUUUUUCUAUUGCCGAAUACUUGUUAUCUAUCUAGUUGAAAUGGCCCUUCGCCUCUUUUGAUAAUUAACCAAGAAACUGUCAUCCGAAUUGAUUUUGACUCUGUUUGCAUCAAGUUUAAUCCAGUUUAAUUCAUUCUUUCAAUGAUGUAUAUCACACAUCACUAACCAAGUAUACCUUCUAAUUAAUAGGAGUAUCGAUAAACUUAUCUAGCUGAGUUGGUUAGCUACUUAAAUUUUACAUUGUUAGUGAAGAUUAUUCGAUUUUCCACCUUGUAAUCCCUUUCCGUGUUUAUCCUUCCCCUUCCCCUUCCCCAAACCCCAAUAGGAAAAGAUAAAAAAAGAAGCUAAUAUUAAGUAUUGCUUUUCCACCAGAAAUGCUAUAAAUAACAAAGUUAAAUAAUCCAUAUUUUUACCUUUUUCUGAAAAGAGUUAGUUUUGAGUGUUCUAGGAAAAAACAAAGUUUAAUUAAUCACCAUUCACAUGUCUUAUUAGUCUUUACGCACCAUAUUCUUCGGUUUGAACUAAUCAAGAAUUACGUAUUAAACAACUCAUGACUUAUAUCUUUCUUUGGACUAUUUUUGUUGGAUAUGAACAAAUAUCUCAUAUAUAUUAGUAGUUAAAUAAAGGAAGUUGCAUAUAAUAUGCAGGAAAUAAUAUUUUUAAUGAUAUGGACGUAUAAUUAUUGCUGUUGUGUGACAUUUUUCGAUAAAAUCAUGUGUUAUUAGUUUGAAGAGAUACAAGUAAAGAGAUGACAGAACAAUAGUAUAGGCUCGAUUUACUCUCUUUAUUGGGUCAAUAGCUUUUUCCACUCUUACAGAUCUAACCUAUUUUUAUUUUGUCAAAAAAAAAAAGAAGUUAUUUUUAUUAUAUUGGGGUCUAUUAAGUUAUUCCCUUAGUCUAAAUUACAAUUUUUUUUGUGUCACAAAAUGUCCUCCCACUUUCAACAAUCAUGCUACUUUCAAGCAUUUCUGUGGUUAAGUUUGCUGCUGUUCCCACUUUAGUAGUUACUAUAUUUUUUAAGUGUACUUUCUUAACUUAUCAAAUCCAAGAAAGUAAGAAAUAUCCUCUUUCUCUUUCUCGUUGAGCCUAUCCCUUUUGAAAGACCAAUUUUCCUAGAGAAGACAUGCAUGCAUGACAUUCAUUGUUGACGUAUUAGCAGAGCGAGAAAUUCUAAUAAGAGAAUUCAAAAAGCUGGAAGAAUAUGUACCUAUGACCUAAAGUACGAGGAACUCAAACAAGAGAAUUCAAAAAGCUACAAGAAUAUCAUACGUGUGAUUUGUACCAAUGACCUAAAGUACGAGGAAUUCUAACAAGAGAAUUCAAAAAGCUGCAAGAAAAUCAUCAUACGCGUAAUUAAUUUAUAGAUGUAACCUAAAGUAGGUAAUUUUUGAGUCACAUUUGAUCAGAAUGUCGGACGAUAUAAUAAUAUCGAACUCCGAAACGAUAGUAUGUUAUGCACCAACGAUGAUAACCACAACUGGGAUAUGGCAAGGUGAUAAUCCUCUUGAUUAUUCAUUGCCACUUUUCAUAGUGCAAUUGACCUUGGUGGUGGUUGUCACUAGACUUCUCGUUUUCAUCUUGAAACCAAUUCGUCAACCUCGUGUUAUUGCUGAGAUUCUUGUAAGUAAUUUAUACAAUUCUCCAGAAUUUAAUUAUAUGAUCAUUCCUAUUUUCAUUUUCAUUAUUUGUCAAGCAUACGUCGUUUCAUAAGGGGGAAACCCUUGAUGUAAUCAAUCGUUGUGUGACCUGAGGUCGCAAAUUUAAGCAUAGUUGAUAACCUCUUGCGGAAACAUGAGGUGAAACUGCAUAUAGUAGACCUAAUAUGGUCCAACUUUUCCUCGUAGCCCAUGCACAACGCGAGAGCUUAAUUAGAGACCAUGUCUGCAUUUUAUAGUGCACUAAUUUAAUGGUUGUUAGGACAAUUACAAUUGUAUCUCUUAUUUCUUGUUGGAUAAAAUGAUCUAGAGUUGAGUAUCUUAUUGGUAAAGCAAAUUCGACUAUAAGAGGAGGACUGCUAUAAUCUUGUUAGCUUUGUUUUAUAAACUACUUGUAUAUUAAUAUUGUGCAAAAUGGUGGCAGGGUGGUGUAAUUUUAGGGCCAUCAGUAUUGGGAAGAAGUAACAAAUUUGCUGAAACAAUAUUUCCUCAGAGAAGUGUUAUGGUUCUUGAAACAAUGGCAAAUAUUGGCCUUCUUUACUUCCUUUUUCUAGUUGGAGUAGAAAUGGACAUUGCUGUGAUUCGUCAAAAUUGUUGCAUGAGAAAUCACAAAAUACCAAAGAAGGAACUUUCAUUCUCUUCCUUGGCCUCGCGCUUUCUGUUACUUCAUUUCCAGUUCUUGCUAGAAUCCUCGCGGAACUCAAACUUAUCAACACUGAAAUUGGGAAGCUCGCGAUGUCUGCUUCACUUAUUAAUGAUAUGUUGGCAUGGGUUGUCUUAGCUUUUGCUAUUGCCUUUACUGAGAAUAAAGACACGAGUUUGGCUUCUCUUUGGGUGAUCCUCUCAAGCAUUGCCUUUAUUUGCUUAUGCUUUUUUGUAGUUAAGCCAUUGAUUGGAAGGAGGAUUAAACAGACCCCAGAAGGCGAAUCGAUUAGUGAGUUCAAUGUAUGUCUCAUUCUCUCAGGGGUUAUGAUUGCUGGAUUCAUAACAGAUGUUAUUGGAACACAUUCUGUUUUUGGUGCUUUUGUCUUUGGUUUGAUUAUCCCUAGUGGUCCUCUUGGUUUGACCCUUAUAGAAAGGCUAGAGGACUUUGUUUCAGGGCUUUUGUUGCCCCUUUUUUUCGCCAUUAGUGGUCUCAAGACACAGGUUAGUGCUAUUGAUGGAGCAACAACAUGGGGAGUUUUAUUUGUUGUUAUAAUCCUGUCUUGUGCUGGCAAAGUAAUAGGUGUAGUCCUUGUAAGUUUUUUCUACCAAAUGCCGUUUUAUGAAGGCCUUUCUCUUGGUUUCCUCAUGAAUGCCAAAGGCCUUGUUGAGAUGAUUGUGCUCAAUGUUGGUAAAGACCAAAAGGUAAUGGUAAUUGUAACACAUACACUUUCAUCUAUUUCGUGGAAAAACCCUCUUACAGAAAUGCAUGGUAAGGCCGAGUACAGUAGACCCUUGUGGUCCGGCCUUUUCCCGGACUCUAUGCAUAGCGGGAGCUUAGUGCACCGGGAUGCCCUUUUUACUUUUAUCUAUUCGUCUUCACACAACUCAAAAGUACUAAAUACUUGUGUAAAUGCAGGUUCUUGAUGAAAAAUCUUUUGCUAUAAUGGUGAUUGUAGCAUUAGGCAUGACUGCAGUAAUCACCCCCAUUGUGACAAUGGUCUACAAACCAUCAAAAAAUUUCACCCCAUACAAGAGAAGAACAGUUCAAAAAAUAAAAUUGGAUAGGGAAUUUCGAGUAGUUGUCAGCAUCCACACCCCUAGAAUCGUUCCAACAGUUAUCAGUCUUCUUGAAUCUUCCUGUCCUACCAAGAAAUCACCAAUAUGCGUAUACGCCCUACACCUUGUCGAGCUCACUGGCCGUGCAUCUGGAAUGCUUAUUGUCCAUAACAUGAGAAAAUCAGGGAGGCCAGCUAUGAACAGGACACAAGCUCAAUCGGAUCACAUCAUCAAUGCAUUCGAGAACUUUGAGAAAAGCACAGGAUGUGUCUAUGUGCAGACUCUCACUGCCGUCUCCCCUUACUCCACUAUGCAUGAAGACAUUUGCGUCACAGCUGAGGAAAAACGUGUGGCGUUAAUCAUCGUCCCUUUUCACAAGCAACAAGCAGUUGAUGGUGGACUCGAAGCUACAAAUCCAGCAUUCCGAACAAUUAACCAGAAUGUAUUAGCAAAUGCACCUUGCUCCGUUGGAAUACUAGUUGACAGAGGCUUAAGUGGAUCUGCAAGGUCCACAAUGAACCAAGUUUCUCAUCAUGUCGCGGUGUUAUUCUUUGGAGGACCAGAUGAUCGCGAAGCAUUAGCCUAUGCUUGGAGAAUGAGUGAACACCCAAACGUUAAUUUAACUGUUAUGCGUUUCCUCCCUGGAGAAACCGUAAUUGAAACAGAAAGAUCAGACUCAACCAACAGCAGGAAGAAAAGCAGGAAUGACCAUAGUAUACUAACAGUUGAAACAGAACGCGAUAGGGAAAAACAGCUCGAUGAGGAAUAUGUAACACACUUCAGGAUGAAAACAGGUAAUGAUGAAUCAAUAGCUUACAUAGAAAGAGUAGUGAAUCAUGGAGAAGAAACAGUAGGAGCAAUAAGGACUAUAGAUAACUCACAUGACUUGUUCAUAGUUGGUAGAGGACAAGGCACUAUCUCCCCAUUAACAUCAGGGCUAACUGAUUGGAGCGAAUGCCCGGAGCUUGGUGCUAUUGGGGAUCUAUUAGCUUCUUCAGAUUUCGCGAUGACUGCUUCAGUAUUAGUGGUGCAACAAUACGUAGGAAUGGGUUCAGGGGAUCCCUUAGCCAUUCCGGAUAGUCCUAGCCAGCAUUCCGAACACGUCAACAUUGAACAAACGAAUCGUAGGUCACAUAGCAGCUAUACGUCACAAAGCAGCUAUAGAGAACAACUACAACAACAACGACAACCUGAUUUUCAUUCACAACAUUGAAAACUUGGUAGGAUUCUUGUCCAUAUCAAUUAUUUUUUUUUGUUAACUAUUCUUGAAUUUUGUUACUUGUAAAAUGUAAAGUUCUUUUAUGCUUCCUACUCUCAACAUAUCAUUCAUACUUGAUGUAUAUGGUAUUCCAUUGAAAGAGUAAAGUGAAGAUAACGUAUGAAACAGUUUUAUUUUCCUUUGUUGCUUCUAUUGUUCUCUUGGUUCCAAUUUUAAACAUUACGAUUAUUAUGAAUGUCGGACUCUUAACUCCAAAGGUGAAACUAGAAUUUCUAGAAUAUGGAUGCGCUACUAAUGAAUGGCGAUAAACAACUUAGCAUUCAACCAAGUGCACCAUUCAAAUCCUUUCCCCGUGAGGGCACUAAUUCGAAGAAGAACAUUGUGUAGAUAAGAAAAGGAUACUAAUGAUAAUAAGCAAUUACAAAACUCAAUUGAUUUUCAUAUUUAUCAUGGAUAUUUUGUUUCAUUAGUAGUAAUGUAUAUAAUGAAUAAAUCACAACAACAAUCACCUUGACCUUGUCAACCUUGAUGAAAUAUUGCAAAACUAAACCAUCUUAUUUUUAUUUUUUUUGAAUUCUAAUCCAUCUUAUUCAACCUAUUACGUUGAAUUAUCUUUUCUAAACAAUGAGAAAUUUAGUGAAACAUAAACACCUUAGAUGAGUUUCUAAACGCUUGUUCACCACCUUACCAUAUUUAUACCUUGUCACAGUUCUUCACAUGAUUCAAGAUGGAGUUUUAAGUUUUGUGCACUGUGUACAAAUAUUCUAUACUAUCAGAUAAUUUGAUCUGCUAUUGUAAGUUACCCAAUUAUUUACAUAAAAAUUGAAAAAGGAAAAUUAGGUAACUUGCAAUAGCAAGUCAAAUUUACCUAAUAAUGUAGAAUAUUAUGAACACUGACAGUGCAUGAAACUUAAAUUCGGAUGGAUAUCAUACCCUAACCCCUUCCAAUAGAAGGUGUAUCCUCAGAUUCAAUUUGUUUGUUUAGUUUCGACUUGUCACGAAGUUAAAAAAAAAAAUAAAGAUGAUUUUUGAAUUUUGUGUUUUGAACUAAAGAUAUAGAACAUAUCGAAAUAUUCUUAAUCUUAUGUUUUAAACAUGACAUGUGAAAGGUUGGAAUUAAAUAGUUGUCAUAAUAAGAAAGUGAUAUUAUUUUUUAAAUGGAUUAUUAAGACCCAAAGUAAAACCAACAAAGUGAAAUUGAAAGGAGAGAGUGGCAAUCUUUGUGCAAGUAUUUUCAAUUUCAGAGUGUCCUCAACAUGUGACUUGUGGUAUAAUUGUAUGACAUCCUUCCUCAAUUGUUCAUCAAGCCCUACUAAUGGUCUUCCAUUAUUCCUCAGUUGAUCAUGUACAAAAGUGUACCCUUGAUAUCAGCUCUUCUAUUUCUGACUCAUGAAUUUUUCAUCCAUGCUCCAGUUUUAUUUUUUCAAUUCCAAGGUAUUACUAACAUGGAUUGUGUUGCAGUGGUAAGCCUCUUCGCCCUUAAUCAGGAGUCUCGGGUUUGAGUCCUGAAUAUUGAGAAAAUCCUGUUGGAAAUCUCACUUCAAGACUAGGCGUUACAGUGCUAUAUCCAAAUUAAUCGAAGCUCUAACGCAAAUACCGAUCGAACAGGGAAUAAAGAAAAACAUGUUAGUCUUGAUGGUGGCAAGUAGAGUUUCUUGAUGGUGGCAAGUAGAGUUAAUAUUGUCACAUGUAGCCUAGAGGCUAUUCAACACGAAAUAUUUUUCUUGUAGUCGAUCAUGUAUCAAAACAAAAAGGGUAAUGUUUCUUUUAUACAAGAUUUAUCACUUAAUUAAUAUUAUAUAGUAUUUAUGUUACCUUAGUUAAUCACUUAAUCUUGAUAAAUAAACAUACUUUAGUUUAUACACUAAAAAGGGCAGCCCCGUCAAAGCUACCCGAGUGCGAGUCUGAAAAGAGUCGACCACAAAAAUCUAUUGUAUACAAUUACUUUAGUUUAUAUAGUCCUAUAUAUGCUACUUUUUGUAAUUUUUCCUUUCUUUUUCCUACCGUAUACUGCAUUUCUGCAGAAGUAAAAACAGUAUUUUGGCUGUUUGUUUUUUCUUAAUUUUCCAGUACCCAAUAUCUACAUUAAUACCCAAUUAAAUAUGAAUUCAUACAUUACAUAGCCUUCUUUUAGGAAGGACUUUUCAACAAAAUCUUUUUUAUUGUCAGAGCUCAAAUGACGAAAUUCUGAUUAAACAUAAAGAGUGUCAAUCAUCCUAUCACGGCUAUAUAAGCAUACUGUGGCUGUUUUGGUUGGCGUUUACUUCAAAAAAGAUGCUACUAUAAUUUUAUCUUUAAUCAUCGACAAAACUCACAUGUGAACCUAAUCAAUUGGCAAACUUUUUGUCAUCAAGAUUUUUGUUUUUGUAUUCUUAAAUUUUUUGGCAUCUAAAUAAACUUUCAAGACAUUAUACUUAACUAAGAGUAUCUCUCAACAGCAUCUCACUCUAUUUUCAUUUGCGUUUAAGUUAUAUACAAUUAAAGUAUCCCAAUUAUUUGAAUUUCAUAUCUUAAUUGUUAGGUGUACGAAUUUUUUAUCUAAACUAUCACCAAUUAUCUAUCAAUCACUCCUUAAUUAUCAAUAGUUUACUUUUCCUACCUAAAUCAUGGUGAUAUUUCAGAUAGGAAAAGUAAACAAUUGAUAAUGAAUUGUAUUUGAUAAAUAUAUUUAGUGAUAGUUCGUGUAGAAGACUCACCACAGUUCAAGUAUGAAAAUGAAAAUCGGGUAUUUUACCUGUGAUUUUGACCCUUCAAUGUUAAAUAAUAAAAGGCUAAAAGUGCUUAAUCAGAUAUCGCAAGAAUUGAAAUUAAAAUUUAUUAAUAAUUGAGUGAUCAAAAUAUUAUCUAACUCGUGUAAAGAUUCUCACAUGUAAGACUCCUACAAACUAAAAACAGAAAUUAUAGAUAAAGUUAUCUGAUAAUAAAUAUUUAAGAAAAAAUUAUGCAGCCCAUAUAUAAAAAUAAAAGCCUCUUCCCUUAACCAUUAGUUAUAUUCUUUUUCCUAGCCCUAGACUUCUUACCAAUGUGAUGAAAUAGGGACAUUAAUUAAAAUUGUCAUGUAACGUUAUAGGUCGACAAACACUUGACAAUACUAAAUUGUGGUCCUAUAAUGCCAUAUGUUAUACGUGUUAAAAUUUAUGUAGUUGAAUCUAGAACAUCCAUAAAAUUGUGGUCUCCUUUACUAGCCAUGUGUCAUUUCCACAAAAGAUUAAGAUAAAUUGAACACAUAUGGAGUAGCUUUUUUACAUUUCUUAUCGAAACAAUUCACAGGAUAUUCACUAUGAUUUUUGUAAGAAGAAAAAUAAUUAUAUUCACUUGAUAGUUUGGGAACUAGUGAAAAUCGAAUGACAUUCUAAUGAUAAAUAAGAAAUAAAAGAGAUUGAGAAAGAUAAUGAUUCAAUGAGAGUUGAAGAAAAGACUAGAGGAAAGUCUUAAGAAGAUGAAAAUGUGUGGUGAGAUGGUUACGAUUCAUCGAUUUUCUAUUAGAAAUUUGAAUUUGAAUCUGAAAAUAAAUAGUUCCUUAACAAAAAAUGAUGAGGAAAUCAGAAAUUUUAUCAAGUGAAUUCAAAUAAGAAAUACAUUAAUAUAUAGAUUCUUUUAUGUAAAACGAAUUCAACAAGUUAUAUGUACAUUUAAAAAAAGACCUAUAUAAAUAAUUUUCCAGGAAUAAGGAGAUUUUAAUUGAAUCUCUUUCACUAGACAAUGAUUCAUUAUUGAUAGAGAACGCUUUAGUAUCUACUACCUAUCAUUAGGACCUUCUUGCUAUAAUUUAAUUAAUCUUGAAUUAGAAUUAUUUUGCAUUGGAAUAUUUUGAAUUUCAUCCUUCCAUGCUUCAUUUAGUCCAGUCCCUCCAUGCGACUAACAUUGCAAAUUAAUUCUUUUUACGACGCGAGAGAUGCUUCCUUAAUAGUUACUAUUUCGACAUUACGUAAUAAUUUUGACUUAAAUUUUAUAAAUGAAUACUUAAUUUGUCUAUUUAUUCAUGUCUCCAUCAUAUCAGGAGUUUAACUUACAUCGAUGGUGUAAUGCAAGUUUAGAACUAGAACUUUUAUUACCAACUGAUAGUUGAAAUAUGUCUUUUUCUCCCAUGUUUAGUUUGCAAGGUAAUUAGUUAGUCCAUUCCUUCAUGUAAACUAGCUUUUCAAAUUAAUUCUUUUUAUCACUCUAGAGGAGCUCCCAUAAUAGUCAUGAUUUAGAACUUAAUAAUUUUGAUUCAAAUUUAAUAGAUAAAUAAUUAAUAUGUGGAUUAAUUCAUGUCUUCGUCAUCUCAAGAAUUUAACUAACAUAGGUCGAUGAUGUAAUGAAUAUUUUAUAUUAUCAUAUCAUUCUUAUAUAUUGUAAUAUACAUAUUUGUCUUAUUUUCAGAAUUACAUAUCGCACUUUCAUGAAUGAUUGUUUGUAAUUAACUACAUUUUGCAUGACCUGAUACACUGAUGGUAUAAAUAUUUUCUUACAUUAUCGAUGUAUAUAUAACUUUAACUGCAAUAUCAAAGCAUGAUAUAUAUAAACUCGACAAAUAUAUGUCAUUUAUUACUCAUGAUGAUACAACAAUAAGAAAGGCAAACAACUAGCUAGCCUUCCUUCUAAAUAUACUGAAUAAACUACAUAUAAUAAUUACUCCUUUGAAAAUAAACAACUAUAUAAACGUACAAAACACCAAAACACACACUGAAACAAAAUACAAAAUACUAUAUAUGAAAGUGGAAAUGUAGCUAGCUUGAUAAAUUAUGCACAUUGAAAGUUCUUGGGAACAUAUUUGCCACAAUUGUUGAGCAACAAGCUGAGGGAAAGUGGAACAUUGAGAUUAAUUCCCAACACAUUGCCUUUAAUGGCAGUGCAAAGACAAACAGCAGCAUCAACAUCAGCAAGUCCUUUAAUUAAAGAGCAACAUUUAGUCUUGGCUGGGCUACUUCCAAUGACAAGGUGCACUAAGUCAUUUAACAAACUGGCACAAGCUUUUAGCUUAAGUGUAUUCUUUGGGCACUUUCCCUUUGAUGAUGGGUUGGAUGGGGAAGAGGGGGUGGAGGGGGUAGGGGUAGGGGUAGGGUUGGAGGGUGGUGGGCAUGGGACAUAAGUGGAACUAACCAUAGUGAAAAAGAGAAUGUUCAAUGUGAGGAGAAGAGCAAUGGAGGCAAACUUAGCCAUUUUUUUAAAAACUAGCACUCUCAACAAAUGAAUGUGGCUAUUAGUAGUGAAAAUGGUGUGUGUUUUGGUGUUUGAAAUGAUGAAAUGAGAGGGUAUUUAUAGAUAAAAAUGAUCGAUUUUUUUGGCUAUUUUUUGUCAAUUUUUUGAAAACAAUGAAGAAAAUUGAGUGGCCCGUGUGGGCUAUCGCACAUUUGCACUACAAUUGUAAGAGAAUAUCAAGGCAACACAACUUAAGAUAAGACUAUUAUAGAAAUGGUGGGGAUGAUUGGGAUUCCGCUUUUAAUCAAAGAUCUCGAAUUUGAGUUUUGAAAAUAAUUAAAAAAAAACUUAUUGGGAGUGCCGUCUCAAGUGAUGAAAUCUACAAUAUGCAAAUUUAAAUUUAAUUGGGUUGUAAUACAAAUAUACAUAUGAAUUUUAAACAAAGAGAUAAGACUAUUACGAAUUUUAAGCUUGGAAUUGUAUGAAUUUAGUUAAUCUUUUAUUAUUUAUCUCUUGAAUUAAUAUACACAUUUAACCUUCCAUUUUCACGUGGGACUUGCAUUAUUCCGCUUAACAGAGGUAAAUCCAGGAUUUGAAGAGAGGGGUGCACCAUUAUUUUUAACAGAGUCAUGUCGACUAUCAACUACAUAAUUUGACAUGCAAAUUUUUUAAACUUAAAAAUUAUAAAAAAAAUUAUGGGCAAAGUAUAAACUUCAAAAUGAUCAAAUGAUAUUAAUUUAGUACUAAUACAACAGAAGUAGACCAUCCUUUCAUACUAGACAUCGACGCGUUUUCAUAUUCUGAAAACUGUCAAUGAUUGCAUCAUUGCUUAUAUUUACAAAUAUAUCCUUCUCAAUGUAACAAACUAAACAAUCCCUUAAAAAUGCAUCACCAAUACUGCUACGCAAUUUAUUCUUGAUAUGCUUCAUGGAUGAGAAAGCUCUCUCUACAGUUGCAGUAGCGACUGGUAAAAUCAACGUCAACUUCACAAGUAAAUACACAAGAGAAUAAGUCAUCACAAGAUUUGCAUUAACCAAUGCUUCUGCCAAAUCACCAAUUCCUUUCAAAUUAGAGAAUAUAUGAUCAACACGUCCCAUGUGUAUAUUGAAAGUAUCAAGUUGGUAAUUAAGCUCUCGAAACUUUGAUUCACCAAAUUCAUCCAGAUAAUGUUUGACCAAUAUCAUUAUUUUUUCCUUAUCAAAAUUAGCAAGAACAUUAGCUGGAUUCAAGCUUGCCAUACCAAGGAGCAAGUUACCACUCACAACAUCAAAGCGAUUAUUAAGCUCUUGAAGUUGCAAGUCAAUUAUAGCAUAAAAGAGCUCAACACGUAAGUGAUGUGAGUAAGUAACACUAGAAGACCUACUCUUUGACUUUUUGAAAAGAUAAAACUCAUCCAUCUUAGGCAUCAAGAUUUCAUGUUUAUCACAAAAUACACAAACUUCAUUCAUUAGAGAAUCUCAUCUAUCAUCUCUCAACAAUUGUAAUCUUUUCUUAGUAAUGUCAAGAAAUGUCAUGGCAUUGACAAUAUGUUGCUCUUUCCUUUGUAAUAAUGCACUUAGCUCAUUGGACAUCACCAAUAUCUUCAACAUCAAGUGAAGCAAGAAAGAAAAUUCAAAUUCAUUGAUCAUAGUCAAAAAAAUCCCGGCUUGUAAUCUAUCAUUGGGAUUUGAGCCUCCACAUUUAAUCGCAUCAAGCACAUGAGCUAUAGAUGAAAGUAAAAUAAUAAAUUUAUCCAGUGUUCUAAAAUGUGAAACCCUACGAGUGUCACCUGGCCUUUGAAGUCCUUGUUCUUGAUUUAAUCCUUUUCCACUUUGAACUUCACCACUUUCUAGGAGUUGCUCCAACAUUUCUGCUUGAUGGUCUCGAAGUUGAUCUCUGCGCUUAAAGGAUGCUCCUACCACAUUCAACACAUUAAUAAUAACAUCAAAAAAUUCAUCUACGAGCAAAUAUUUUUUAGCAACGGCUACAAGUAUCAAUUACAAUUGGUGAGCAAAACAAUGAAUACAAUAUGCCGAUGGAGUUUCCUACAAAAUCAAAGCUUUAAGACCGUUCAUUUCUCCCUACAUGUUACUAGCCCCAUCAUAGCCUUGUCCUCAUAUUUUAGAUGUACUUAAAGAGUGUCUCAUAAGAAAAGAGCAUAUUGUUUCCUUCAACAUUUUUGUCGAUGUAUCACCAACACGAACAAUAGAAAUAACUCACUCAUUCACUUUACCUUUUUUGGUAACAUACCUUAAUGCAACGGCCAUUUGUUCAUUGUGUGAUAUGUCUUUGGAUUCAUCAACUAAAUCCCUAAAAAAUCUCCAUUCAAGUCAUCAAUUAUAGCUUUCACGGUUUCUUGAGCACAAGCACUCACAAUAUCCUUUAAAAUUUUUGAAGAAGUCAUUAUAGCAUUUUUUGAAGCAUGUUUUAAAAUAACAUUGUUCAAAUCAGGAAGUAUUUUUUCUAGCCAUUUCAAAAGACCUAGAAAAAGGCCUUUAUUUUGGAAAGAUUCACUUUCAUCGUGACCUCGAAAAGAUAAUCCGAAUUUCAAAAGGAACUUUGCCACGUUAGUUGAAGCCUCUAAACGAAUACGAUGCACACUUCUUAUUUUUUUCAGAUUGCUUGUUCAAAGCAACUUGAAUUGAUUGAGAUUGAUUCUCAAAAUUUAGCAUAUUACUGAAAUAUCUUCUAUGGACGCUUUUUACUUCACCAACAUGUAAUUGAAAUCGCUUCAAACUAUGAUUCCAAGUCUUAAAGUCGAUUUUUGUGAAAAAAUCACCUGCAUUUCCCUUUACAUAGUCAUUUUUUGAAUAAAUAGCAACACAAACGAAACACAGCAUCUUUCUUCACACUAUGCUCCAUCCACCUAGAAUAUGAAUCUUCAUACCACGUCGAAUUAAAUCGACGCAUUUUUGUUCCAAUUCUAGUUUGAGGAAAGUGAGAAAGAAUCGGUUGACAAGGCCCUUGUUGAAUAUAGUGCCUUCUCACUUGAUCUCGUAUUGUAGAGUCACAUUCAUGAAUUGGUUUUCUUUCUCCGGAAUCAAAUUUUAGUGAAUUCACAUCAAACUCUUCUAUAAGAGGAUAAGAAUUGUCUUUAAAACUAGAGCUUGGUUGAGGAGAAUAAUAUCUAUCCAUUUCAAUUCACAAGAAUCAAUAACAAAUUCUUACAAAAUAAAAAAUUCAUCGAGAAUAUAAAUAAAAUUAAUUAUUUAUUUUUAAUCAAAGUCCAUGAACUUAAAUAGAAGCAAGAAAAAAAUAUAAAUAAAUUUUGCACACUAACUUUCUAGCAACAAAUAGAUAUUAAAAGCAUUUAUGAUUUAACAUUAUCCAAACUUAAAUUAAAAAAAUAAAAAAAUAAAAGGAAGAGAUGUAUACCUGUUAGCAUCAAAUGAAGAAUUGAAAUUGCUCCUUGUUACCUUGUUUGGCUUUUGGAAGAAUUUGGAAAAUACCGAAUAGAGCUUGAAAUUUAGGAAAAAUUACGGGGCUUGGGACUGGGAAAUAUGUAUUACCUAGAUAUAUUAAUUAAGGGUAGUGUGGGGCCAGCUGAGGUGGUUGCCUGGCUGGUGGUAAUUAAAUGUUAAGUAAAUGAAACAAAAGGCAUCCAUCAGGAUUCGAACUUGUAACGUUGGGACUCGAUGGAUGCUAACAUUUGAGUUCCGAACUAGUGCACCCAGACAUGUUUUGCUAUUAAGGGUGCACAAUUAAAUAUAUUAACAAUUUAGUAGGAUAUCUAUACAUAUAUAUACGAUUUUAAAAAAAAAAAGUUACCGGGUGCACGUGCACCCUCGCGGAAUCACGUGGUCCGCCUCUAAUUGGAGCCUGAUUAAAUUUGAAUUUCCGUCGAAAAGUUUCACAUUGGAGGGUAAAACGCUUUCUAACAAACGCAACUUCGUAUUAUGUUAGACUCAAACCCGAGACUUCUGGUUAAGGUUGAAGGAGUAUUUAUCACUCUACCACAAAUCUUUAUUUAUUUAGGUACAAUACGCCACUCUUUUCUUAUUAUUUCGUUUAAAAAAAUGACACCAUUUUAAUAUUUUAAAACAAUUAACUUUUAAAAGUUUUUAUUUUACCUUUAUUAGCUUGCUUUAAUGAUAUAAUAUUCAUGCCAUAUUUAAAUUUAUAAGUUUCAAAAAAAAUAGUUUCUUUUCUUCUUAAUUAAACUCCAUCUAACUCUACGGUGAAAUAUUGCAAUAUAAACUAAAACAAAUAAAGUAAUACUAUAUUCUUAACGUUUAUAGGAUAUUCUUUUCUUCUAUAGUAUUACAGAGAAUAAAAAAAUACAAAAGGAGAAGAAGAAAGAAAACAUUGUGAUGAUAAAAAUCUGAAGCUAAAUAGAAUUUGUGUGCUAUCAGCUAAGAGAGAAGAGAGAAAGAGAGAGAAAGAGAGGAAAUUGAUUCCCUAACUCAUGCUGAGCAAAACAAUAACCGUCUCUGUAUUGAACUGUAUAGAAUGAAUAUAUUCUUCUCUUUUAGAUGCAUGCUACAUUAUUGAUAGUUGUACAUCACUAACUAAUCAGCUAAUUAGUCUAAUUAGUUUAAUCUAUAUUAACUAACUCUUGUGCCAACCGUACAAUGCAAAGAGUCAAUUGUACAAUGCAAUUAAGUCACUAUUUUUGUUUCAUUACUCCUCCUUAAGCUGGAAAGUAUGAACACAUCCAAAACACCCAGCUUUAAAAUCAAAUAUUCAUGUUGUGAUCUAAUCAACCCUUUUUUCAAAAUAUCUACUUGUUGCUCAUGUGUUCUUAAGAAUAAUGGUUUAAUCAAUCCCAUUUGGAUCUUCUCCAUAAUGAAGUGACAAUCUAUUUUGAUGUGCUUUGUUCUCUCAUGAUAUACCGAGUUUGUUGCAAUUUGUAAGACUUCCUUAUUGUCACAAUAUAGUUCUACUGGCAUUUCCAGGUCUUCUCCUAAUUCUUUGUACAAUCCUGUAAUUCACACUAUCUCUGAGAUUUUAGAAGCCAUGCUCCUGUAUUCUGACUCUGUUGAGCUUCUUGAAAUGGUUGUUUGUUUCUUGGACUUCCAAGAUAUCAGAGAAUCACCAUGUUUAACUAGGAAACCUGUCAAUGAUCUCCUAGUGUUUGGGCAUGCUGCCCAAUCAGCAUCACAAUAUGUUGUCAGCUUGUUUUAUUUCCUACUACUCAUCAAUAUUCCCAUUUCAGGUUGCCUCCUUAUGUAUCUCACCACUCUUAGUGUUGCUUCCAUGUGAAAUCUCUUUGGUGCUUGCAAAAACUGACUUAGUGUUUGCACUGUAAAAUAUAUGUCUGGUCUUGUUAGAGUUAGGUAAAGCAAUCUACCAAUCUAUCUCUGAUAUGAUCUCAUAUCUUCCAAUACUGGAUCAUCUUUUACCCCAGCUAUUUCAUCCAUUUCUCUAUUAGUUAGUCUCGUAUUGUUGUCCAGUGGUGUCCAGGAGGGCUUUGCUCCAGUAAGACCAACUUUCUCUAUCAUUUCUAGAGCAUGUUUUCUUUGAUUCAUCAAUAUUCCUUUAGUAGAGCUGCUAAAUUCUAUCCCUAGAAAGUACUUUAAAGUUCCUAGGUCUUUAAUCUUGAACUUAGCAUGCAACUUUUGCUUGGUCUGCUCAAUUAACUUUAAGUCAUUCCCUACUAUCAUCAUGUCAUCAACAUAAACUAGAAUGAUUACAAUUUUCUCAUUGUGUCUUCUUAUGAAUAAUGAGUGGUCUAGUUUUCUCUGCAAGAAUCCUGAAGCAAUCAGUGCAUCUGUAAGUUUCACAUUCCAUUGUCUGCUUGCCUGUUUAAAAUCAUACAAGGAUUUAACUAGCCUACAAAUCAGUCCAUAAGACUCCGUCUGACUAGAAAAUCCUUCAGGCAGGGUCAUGUAAACUUCAUCAAAGAGAUCACCUUGAAGAAAGGCAUUAUACACAUCCAUUUGAUGGAUAUGCCAUCCUGAAGCAACAGCAAUUGACAAUACACUUCUGACAGCAACAAUUUUCAUCACAAGUGGAAAGGUAUCUUGGUAAUCAAGACCCUCUCUGGUUAUAACCUUUAGCCACCAAUCUAGCCGUGUAUCUUUCUACUUCACCCACCAAUAGGAUGUUUUCCUGGAGGCAGGAGAUCUAACUUCCAAGAUUGGCUUCAAGUGCAAGAAUUUCUUCUUGCAUUGCCUUGAUCCACUUAGGAUCAGAACAAGCUUCCUUAUAUGUCUUGGGUUCAGUAACACAAGAAAAAACAGCCAAAUAGUAUUGAUAAGUAGGUGAAAGAUGAGCAUGACUUAACACCUGAGAAAGUGAAUAUAGAGUGCUUACAGAAGCAUUAUUGGAGAUGUAAUCAGUCAUCCAAGUAGGCUACUUCUUGGAUUUUGUGGACUGUCUAGGAACAACCUCAACAGGCACAUUAAUAGCUACAGGAAGUGUGUCAUCAGCAUCAACUGACAUGGUGUUGCAUGCAAGUGGUCAACAGUUGCAUCAUGAUCAGCUUUAAUAGGAGAAUGAGGUAAUAUUUCAUCAACCUAUAUUGAGUCUUGAGAGAUUGGAAUAAAAUGAUCAAUAGAGAAGUCCAAAAAUAUAGGAGUAGGAAGAGACUUAGUUUGAAAAGGAAAAACAUUUUCCUUAAACAAAACAUCUCUCGACAAAAAAAAAAAGAGUGAGUAACUAAGUUAUAUAGAACAUAGCCUUUAGUUACUGCAGAGUACCCCAUAUGAACAGUAGGGAUUGCUCUUGCAUCAAACUUAUUCCCUGGAAGAAGCUUCUUGACAAAGCACAAGCAACCUAAUACUCUUAAAUGAGUGAGAGUAGGGAUAUAACCAUGGAAAACUUCAAAAGGAGUCUUUCCCUCCAAAGCAGAAGAAGGUAAUUUGUUCAUCAUGUAUACAGCUUCCAAAAUACAAUGUCCCCAGAACUUAAGAGGUAUUGAACCCUGAAAUAUGAUUGAUCUGGCUAUCUCCAAAAUAUAUUUGUGCUUUCUCUCCACGACUCCAUUUUACUGUGGAGUGUAAGCACAGGUUCUUUAAUGCAUUAUCACAUAGGUGGAGAAUAAGAUAUGACAAUGUGCGUUCACAAAUUUAGUCUCAUUAUCUGACCUAACCAUCUUUAUAGUUUUGUAAAACUGAGUUUGCACCAAUUGAAUAAAGUUCUUCAAAAUCAUGAAAACAUUACUUUUUAAUUUACGAAGAUAAACCCAAGUCAUUCGAGAAUGAUCGUCAAUAAUUGUCAGGAACAAUCUAUAACCAUCAAAUGUUUGAAUAUGAAAAGGGCCCCAGACAUCCAAAUAAAGUAAAUCAAAAACAGCUGCAGACUUAGUUUCAUUAAGGAAAAAUGGCAUCCCAGUAUGUUUAGCAAGAGGACAUAUAUCACAUGUAUCUAAAACAAGUUUACAAUCAUCAAAAGUAACACCAAAAAGUUUCUGCAUGGCUCCAAUAGAUACAUGUCCCAUUCUCUUAUGCCACAACAGUAUAUCCACUUUAUUUUUUAUAGCAAUCAAUCCCUUAAUAGGUCGAGCAUGGUGUUGUUCUUUCACUUUGUGUUCAAGUAAGUAUAAUCCAUCCUUUUCCUUACAGUCGCCAACACUUUUUCAUUUGAGAGGUCCUAGAAUAUACAGGAAUCAGGAAGAAAUUUGAUUGAACAAUUCAACUCUUUGGUUAUCCUAGAGACUGGCAUCAAAUUAUACCUAAAAUCAUGUAUAUAUAAUACAUUUCUAAUGGUGUGAUCAUUCAACACCUCACAAGAACCAGUAUGAGACACAUGAGCCACUUCUCUAUUAGGUACGUGAACAUUUUUGUCACUAACACAUAUUUGUGUUGGUUUUAAUAACUCAAUAUUAGAGGAAAUAUGGUUUUCUGCGCCUAUAUCAAUUAUCCAUUGUCUUAUUAUCAUUUACACAAGAAGCAGAAGCAAUAUCUGUGUUUUCAACCUCUGUAACAUGAGAUACAAAAGAGUUACCUCCCAUGUUUUCUGCUUUUAAUAUAGACAGCUUGCUUAUGCUCGCUGAACUUUCUCCUACAUGUUCUUUCUCAAGAGAUUGCAUCACCUUAUUUCAGUAAUAAGGAUUCUCUAGCAUCUUCAUCAUUUUGUCAUAGUGAGGAUGAGUGUAAGAAGGCAUCUGUAAACCAUGAUGGCCAUCAUCACCAAUUGACACUUAUUUACCAUGUGUAUAAUCUGAAAAUCUAGUAGCCUCUUUCUUCACAUAGUAAGUUCUGCCUCUAGCAUCAUCUCCUCUCAUAUUGUAUGACUUAUUUCUAGGAUCUCUAUCUCUCAUGUUAAAAUAAGCACUAACUCCAUUCUUUCUUUUUGACUUGAAAUCAGAGGGAUUACUAUGAAGUUUGAAACAAUCAUCCAUAUUGUGACCAGUCAACUUAAAAUACUCACACUUAGAAUUUCAGUGAGGAUUCCUUUUAUACUUAUUAGAGGUGCUACUUUUGUUACUCAUUAAAGCAGUUAUCUCUGCAUUUUCAGAAGGUCCAAUGGUAUGAGCAAUCACUUUUUGGCUUUCCCUCUCAAUCAUCAUAGAGUAUGCUUGAUUGACAGAUGGAAUUGGGGCUAACAUAAGAAUUUGCCUUCGAGCUUGUUCAUAUGAGUCAUUGAGUUCCAUUAAAAACUGUAACAACUUUUGCCUUUUUACAAAUUCCACAAAUUCUCGUGACUUCUCUCAAUCACAACCUGGGAAUGGGGCUAAACAAUUAAAAUCUGCCCAAAGCAAGCUCAAUUUAAUAAAAUAUUCAGCAAUGCUACUAGUACCUUGAGAGGCAGUUGCGAUUUCACGGUGCAACUGAAAAAUCUGCGAUCCAUCAACUUUAUCGAAUCGCUCUUUAAGAUCAUUCCACACAUAGGAUGCAUUUGAAGAGUAUACAAUUCCACUCAACAAUUCCUUCGAAACACGGUUCAUGAUCCAUGAAAAGAAGAUUACAUUACGAUGCUCCUAUAGAUCAGCUAGAUUUGGAUCAAAACUUGCUCUUCUGCAUGUGCCAUUGAUGAAUCCCAACUUGUUUCUUCCAAGUAUUGCAAUCUUCAUCGUCGACUCCAGACAGAGUAGUUUUCAGAUCCUGUAAACUGUAUAGAAAUUAACAAUAUUCCUGAAGUAUCCGACUUAUUGAGAUACAAUGGAUGAUUGUGCUUCAAUUUUUCUGACAGAGUAUUAUCGACUUCCACCGUCAUUCCUGUCCUAAAUUGCUUCAAAUCAGCUUAUGCAGACCGUAUUAAUGACCUUAGGCUCUAAUACCAUGAAGCUAAAUAGAAUUUGUGUGCUAUCAGCUAAGAGAGAAGAUAGACAGUAAGAGAGAGAAAGAGAGGAAAUUGAUUCCCUAACUCAUGUUGAGCAAAACAAUAACCGUCUCUGUAUUGAACUGUAUAGAAUGAAUAUAUUCUUCUCCGUUAUAUACAUGCUACAUUAUUGACAGUUAUACAUCACUAACUAAUCAGCUAAUUAGUCUAAUCUAUAUUAACUAACUCUUGUGCCAACUGUACAAUGCAAUUAAGUCACAGCUUCUGUUUCAUUAAGAUCUCAAUUGAGAUAAAAGUUAAACUUUCCGAGUCCUUCCCAUAAUUAAUUUGAUGACGAUUCGUCAUUAGAAAGAAUGGGGAGAGAAUAUGUUUUGAUGCAUAAUAUAGGUAUAUAUGUUACUGGACAACAACAGACAGUUUGCUCGGAUAGUAAGCACCCCUUACUUCCAAUCCGAAGAUUGUAAGUUCGGAUUACUAAAAGAGCAAAAAGGAUGAAGCUCUUAAGAAGGGGUAAAAAUAAUGAUUUGAUGAUAAUAAAAAUAAGUACAGUUCAAUAUCUUUAAUUUGAGUGAUCUAGUUUUAUUUUGCUGACCAAAAACAGUCUAGUUUAAUUUAUCUUUAAUUACUUUUAAAAUGAUUUAAUGUGUACAAACUUUUUACACUAUCAAUGCAUAAAGAAUAAUGUCAAUACGGAAAACGAUGGAUCAUUUGCACGACCUAUCAAAUUUCCAAAAGAGACAAGGAGCCCUGACGCGUUAUUUAAGACUUUUUGUGAGCCUAUUGCAUAAAAAAUCUAUUCGUUGCGUGUCCAAUGAAUGGAUUGAAUUUGAAUUUUGAUCGAUUAAAAACUUAAAAUGGAGUAAUUUAAUAAGUGAGUGGGUGAUCAAGUGGAUUUCUAAACAACUAAUUGUUAAAUAUUGAGUUAAUUUAAUUUCAUAUAUUAAAUGAAAUUAAUUCUUAACAAGCUAAAACUGUUACAUAAAUUGAGAUGGAGACACUAAUAUAUAACACAUUUUUUAAAAUAAAAUAAAAUUAUAUGUUAAGCAAAAGGCCCACUACCCCAUGAAAUAAGUCGAAAAAAUGAAAAAUCUUUUUCGUAAGUCGUCUAAUGGUGCUCAAUUUAACAGCUUGUUUGGAUAGUUGUUAGCUAUUGUAUUAUUUCGUAUUGUGUUGUUGGUUUAAUUAUAAUAUGUAUUUUAAUUAUUUUUAAAAUUUUAUUAUACUAUAUUGUUAAAUUCAUCGUUGUGUAACGAUGAAAUUUUUCAUUUUAUAUAGCAAUUGAUGUGGUAUGAUCAUACCGUCAUUCUUUUCCACUCAUUGUAUUUUUGGUUAUUAUUUAAUAAUUGUGUUUCAUCCUUUAUUCUUAGCUUUUUUAUAAUAACUCUACAUGUAUCCUAUUCUUUUUUAUAGAUUUAUCCUUCAAACCAUUGAUAUGUCACGUUAUAUAAUAACAAAAAAGAUAUAAUUUACUCGAACGUUAUAUUCGUAAAAUAAUAAAAUACAACAAAAUAUGAUAUACACUAUGAAACCAAUCCUAACAAUCAUCCAGACCAAACUACAACACCAAUAACAUAUUCAUGGUGCAUGCAUAUGACCUACAAGUGAGAUAUUGAGAGAUUAUGACAUUCAUAAAUCUUAUUUAUCGUAUCUUUAUUUUAAUAAGCUAUUACAGAUAGACACUCGGCUGAAAAGAAAAGUUUUCAUAUGUGAAUUAGAAUAUGACUACGAAAAAAGGAAAAAUAGAAGCAAAAAGUAAGAAGUUCUAUGACAAAGACUUCAAAGUACAGCCAAUUACAUUGAGACCCCAUUACCAAAAUCAAACCGUAAGGAUCGGAUAACUGCAGACUUCAUUUUCAAUCCAAUUAAAUGGGGUCAUUUUGUUAUACAUAAUUAAUAAUUGUCGUGUAUACAUAUAUUGUUAAUAUCCAAAGUACUAUCAGUUAAAUAUAUAAAAAGGACAAAACUAAAAAGAGAGGGUAUUCUGUCAACUUUGAUGAACUUCUAGACACGUAUUGAGGCAUCUUAAUUAUGCAUGAAAACCAACAAACAGAUAUAGCAUAGUGAAUUCAUGUGGUUUACAUUUAAUAUUCAAUUAAAAAAACUAAAAAAAAUAACUAUUUUAUUUUAUUUAUUUAGUUUUGCAAUAAUUCUCAAGUCCGUGACUCAAAAGUCCAAAAUCCAUGUUUAUUUUAUUUAGAUUACGUAUUAUAAAAGAUAAUAAAUUGCUAACUUUAAGUUCAAAGAAAUCAUUUAAUCCUGGAUUAGGAGCUAAUUAAAGGGUCAUUUGGCAUAGCCGGAUUGGACAAAUUGCAAUUAUUGAAAUUCGAGAAUGAUGAACGUAUUGAUUUUUCAGACUGAUAUCUUGGUAAUUAGAAAAAUGAAGAAAACAAAAUUAAAAAGCCAAAAAUGUGCAUCCACAAUGACCCUAAUCAAGGGAUGUGCUUUCAAUUUACUUAUUUGGAUGGCUGUUACCUAUUGCAUUGUAUAAUGUUUUGUUUGAUUAUUAAUUAAAUCUUAUUGUAUCAUAAGGUUAAAUUCAUCGUCAGGUAACAAUAAAAGGUUCUAUUUUAUGUAGCGACCAAUUUGAGACCAUGGUCUCGUUACCUUAUUUCUUUUAUUUUGUCUUUGUUUAUUAUCCAAUAAUUUUACUUUAUUCUUUAUAUUACUUUUUUUUUAUAAUAGAUCUACCGGUACCCUACUUUUCUAAUAGUUUUAGCCUUCAAAUUGCUAUGUAACAUUAUGUAACGACGAGAGAAACAAUACAAUCAGUCUAAAUAUAAUAUUCAUCGUAAUAAUAUAGUACAUAUAAUAUGAUUAAUAUAUAUAAUAUAUUAUGAAACGAUAAGCAACCACAUUCCAACAAAGUAAGGUGGAAGCCCUAAACAGGGGAAGAAAAACCACACGUUCACUCCAAAAAAAUAAUAUUGCAACUUGCAACAAUGCGUUGGAAUUUAACGCGGAAUCCCAUUUGUUUGAAAACCAAAAGUCUUUUUUAUAUUUUGUUUUACAACUAAAAACAAAUUAAUGAAUGCAUCGACUGGGACUUUUGUAUCCUAAUGAGAUACUACUUGUGUAGCUCAAUUAAGGAAAUUAUUUAAGAUUUUGUAGACUUCGAUUCGAUGUGACAAGUAAACGGGGUAUGACCCUACCGACUGUUGGGUUCAGUCGAUUCAAAGAUAUUCUUACAUGAUGUGAUAUUGCAUGCUUGGUUCAAAUCUGUAUGGUGAUAUUCAAUGGCGGAGUUAGGAUUUCCAUUGAGGGGUUCAGUAGUAUAUAUACGAACUAGUCGAAGGGAGUUCAACAUCUACUAUAUAUGUAUAAAAAUAUUUUUAAUCAUGAAAAAUAGUAUAAUUUUUCGUCGAAGUGGGUUCAGAUUAAACCCCCUGGAGCAAAGGUGGCUCUGCCACUGGUGAUACCCAAAAUGCAUCACAUCGGGGAGGAGCCAAACUUUUGGUGCUCCAGCACUCAGUAAAUUCGACAUUAGGUAUAAUUAUAUAAAAAAUGUACAAAAUCUGAAAUAGGAUUUAAAAAAACACUCAGUAAACCAAGAAGAUAGCUAGGUGUUUUAGUUUUCAGGCGGAAUCUUAAAGCUUGGGACGUCAAUAUGCAUGUUCGAACCUUCCAUGCACCGACGAUCCCUAAAUUGUGGAUCCGCCACUGCAUCACACCAUUAAGAAAUCAUAUACUAUGUAAUAUUCGAAUCUUUUUAGCCACCAAUAUAAAACUUUUAUUAGCAAACCCAACACCAACUGCUUCAAAAUGGAAUAAUGCAGGUAGUAUAUCUCUGACAAACAUUAAUCUUAAAAGUAUGUUUCUAUUUAUUUUCAGAUAAUGGUAAUGGUUAUGUCAAUUUUAGCGCUUCGACUAUUUCAUUGUGCAUUUACUUUGACACUCAUCAGUAUGAUAUUUGAGCAAACUCUACUAACUAAAUUUUAGACAAAUUAAAUUAAGUGCAUGUUUUUUUUUAAAUCUCUAGUGUUUGAAUUCUUGGUUCCAACUUUCAAGGAUGAGGACACCUAUCUCAUUAUCACAAGCCACAUACUUAGCUGCAAUUUUAAAUCGAUUUUUGAAGAGCCUUUAUUACUACAAGAGAAGUUUUCUUAUUUUAGUUAUAUAAAUUUUAAUUUUACCUUGUUAGGUAGGUAAUUGAACCAUCACCAAUAUUGUAAAAGUUCACGUCUAAUAAGACUAUUCAGAUAGGAACCCUUCUACAGUUGAAGCUUGCCAACUUUUUUAAAAUGGUCGAACUGUCCAAAAGAUAAUGUAGGUAUUACACAAUUAACCUGGCGGUCAUAAUAGGUUAAACCCAAAUUAACCGUUAAAAUUAUAUAAAAAUAGCAUUUACUGAUCACUUUUUAACCCUAGUUUCGUAAGUAGUCACAAACUCCUGAAAAUGGGAGUUGUCCCUUACUUGUGGACCAAAUUGGGCCGAACGAGAUAUUCAACUACUUGUCAAGCCAGUUGAAAAGCCCAAUACAAAGUGCUCAAUGCUCCAACUAAAAGAUGAAAUAGAAGAUCUAGAAAUUACAUAUAUAUAUAUAUAUAUANNNNNNNNNNNNNNNNNNNNNNUAUAUAUAUAUAUAUAUAAGGUAACUUUAUUUUAUUACAUAAAAUCUCAUAUUGAAAAAUAAAUUUAAAAAAUCUCAAAUUAAUUACUUAAAUUCCUAACUUUUUUAUUUUCUCUCUCUUCCUUCUUAUACAUCCUAAAUAGCUCCAUAGUUUCCUCCUAAAAUCUUGCUAGCUACCUUAUCUCUCCAAUUAUUUAUCUGCAUUAAACCUCCUUACCCACAAAUUCCGAUCUACAAUAAUCUCUCAAAAAAAAAAAAAUCUUCUCCAUUUUCUCCGUCCAAAAUCAACAAAAUCUUUUCCGGCCAAAAUUAUCUUUUCUCCGGUCAAAAUCGACAGAAUUUUCUCCAUUUUCAUCAAAAAUUCAGAAAAAAAACUGCAAUUUCAUCCAAUAUAAGCUUCUCUGAAUUCGGGAAUAUAUGCUUCUUUGAAUUUCAUCAAAAACGAAUUAAGUUGAAUCUUCUCCAUUUAAUGGUCGUGUGUUAUUAUUUCCGUUGUUGAUUUUGUUCUUGGCUCUUUUGAUUAUGAAAAAACCAAUUUCGCAGAGAAUCAUUCGAAGCACCGAAACGAUCCAGUAACAAUGAAGAAAUUGAGGGAAGUUGCCGGUUCAAGUUCAAACAAGAAAGCUCUAAAAUCGUCAAGUAAGAAAAAGGUUGAUGAUUCUGGACGACCACGUCUGCCGAAGGUUUAGUUAUCAUUAAAAUAUGUAUUAGUAGCACUAUUCUAUGUAUAUAAUUUCAUUAUACAGUUGUUAAGAUUAUAUAGUGAAGUAUAUAAGGUGGCCGUAUACAUGUGAAACAGUGUUAGAUUAUAUUUAUUACUUGUAUAAGGUUUACACAUACAUGUGAAACUGCUGUAUGAGGUUGUCUUUUAUUUGUUUUGGCGGUACGAUUCUAUGUAUAAGAUUUCACAAUACAUGUAUUAAUACUAUAUUAUUAAUUGUAGAAGGUUUACACAAAUAUGUUUAAUAAUGAAAAAAUUUCAGAAAUAGCAACUAUAGAGUCUUAAUUGUAAGUUUUAUAGCAACCCUUUCAAAAUUACAAAAAAUAGCAAUAUGUAUUUUGUAUUUGAUUAAAUUGUUGCUAGUUAAAUGCAUAUACAAUUAAAGAUUCUGUUCCUAAUUUAACUCCAAUCUGUUUUAGUUUAAUAUGGGAAAAACGGUUCCUUAAUUUAAGGAACAUUUAAUUUGACAGAUUUCUUAACCGUUUACAAAUAUCUUUCUUUUAAUGACUCUAUUUUAACCACAACCAUUAUUUUACAGUAACAUAAUUCAAAAUUCAAAAACUUUUUUCAUAAUCUACAACUCAUAUCAAUUUUAAAAAAAAAAACGACUGCUUUCAAAAUUUAUGUGCAUCGUCUAAUGUUUUGAGAAGAGUUUGAUAAGACAACACUGCAAAUACAGGUAUCAAUAAACAAAUAUGAUUUUGUUUGUGAAUUUUCGGACUAUAUUUGUGAAAAUCGCUGAAAAAAUCGUAACAACAAUGGUUUGAUCAGUUUUCGAACAAAGUGGUUUGAUCGAUAAUUUCUUUUUACAAAUUAGAGUUUUUCAUCACGUUAUGUAGGUUGAAUAUUGAUAUACAAUUGUUAUUGUUUAUUUUGUAUUUUUUUCCGUUUCAAUUAAACAAUUUGUUCUUGUUGGAUUUCGUUUUGAAGUUUUGUAUAUAAUAAUAAGUUAUUGUGUCAAAGGGUUUGAACAUUGUAGACCUGUAAUAAUCGUUGAUGCAAAUCAUCUCAGAAAACUGUAUACUAGUACUUUUGUAACUACUUAUACCAUGGAUGGAAUCAUAAGUCCUUCUUAUAUAUGCAUUUAACAUUGCAUAUACUGCCAGCUAUAUGUAUUUGUAAAAUACAUAAGCAGUCUGUUUAUGUGAUCACUGGUAGUUACUUUUAUGUAUUUCAAUUUACAUAUGUUGCCAGCAAUAUGGAUUUCAAAAAUACAUAUGCACUCUGUUUUAAGUGUUUGAUUGCAUUUAUUUUUAAAAAAAAAUAAAAAUAUGAAGGCCUUAUAUUUCUAAAAAUACAUAUUGAGACAUGCAAUAUACAUAUGCAGAAUUGGUAAAAUACAAUUGCUAAAUUGGAACAAUUACAAAUGUCAAUGAAUAAUUGUUGUUAUAAUUUUAAUUUUAUUUUAAUAAUUUCAGGUUAUACCAAUCUCAGAGUAUGUCUAUACAGUACAUGACAAGGAUAAACAUUUUAUUGUUUGCCUUAAGAAAAAAAAUUCUUGCCAUGCAUUCCAAUAGGACGAGAUACCGUGUUUGCAUGUUUAUGAAGUACUUGAUAGCAAGAAUUUUCAAAAGGGAUCAUAUUACUCUAACCUAUACAAAUCAAAAACUGUGUCAAGAACGUAUGAUCUUCCCAUUUAUCCUAUACCACACAAAUAUGAUUGAGUGAUUCCACAGGAGAUAUUGGAGGAGAUAGUUUUGCCCCCAAAAUACAAGCGACCCCCUGAAAGACCUGCAAAGAAGGAUUGUGAAAAGUCAGAAAGAGAUAUGUUCGAGAAGAAAAACAAAAAUUAUUAUAGUUCAUGUGGAUUUAAAGGUCACAAUUGGUGUUCAUGUAGGAAAUAUAAUAAAUGAUAAGUUUACAGAUGUAUUCAGUUCAAAAGCAAUUGUUUUUUUUAUUGAUUAUUUUAUGAUUCUAAAUUUUGAUACAAACUUUUGAUGAUGUUGACUUUGUUGUAGUUAAAUUGCUGCAAAUGUUAUCAUCAUGAAUAUAUUUUAUAGGACAUAUACCAUUAUUUAUUUAUACGUAAAAGAGUGUACACCAUACAAGUCAAUUUUUUGGUAUGAAAAAUACAUAUGAGAUUCUAAUAAAAACGUAUACCGAUCUAUAAAAACUAAAAAUAAGUUAACAUAUAUUUAUGUAAUAAUUAAAAUUACAUUUAAUGACUUAUCAAUUACUUAAUUAGAACUUGAAAUUCAUUUAUUUUUAAAAAAAAAAAAAACAUAUGCAUUAAUCAUAAAUAAAUAUGCAUUAUUCAUAGAUAUAUACGAAUAACUAUGUAUGUAUAAAUCAUAAAUACAUAUGCUUCUUAAAAAUACACAGACUUAUGCAAAACAAUACAACAACUUUGUAUUGUUCGAAAGUAUAUGUGCAUAACUGGAAAAAAUAUAUAUGCAUUACUCAAAAUGCAUAUGCAUUAUAAAAAAAUACAUAUUCAUACAAUGAAAAAUAUUAUAUGCAACCUCAACUUACCUUAUAUGUAUUACAAAAAAAUACAUAUGCAUACAAUGAAAAAUAUAAAUACACUAUUGAAAAAUACAUAUGAUGACUGAAACAUAUAUAUUCAUUACUGAAAAUUAUACUUAAAACUGAAAAUCACAUAUUCAUACCAAAAUAUGUGUAACUAACAAUAACAUAAAGUAAGAUCGAACAAUUCUAUUUUAGAAGCAUAACGAUCAAAAAUCUAACAAUCACAUAAAAAAAUAUUAAGAUAUCAUCUUUCAACUAUAUCAUAGUCCUCCUAAAGUUCAAUGUUGCCAAAUACAACAAAUACAAAUAAACUUCAAAUAUCAUGCACUUUAGUAUCUUCUAUUAGCCCAAUAUCUUUAGGAGGCCUCAUUGGUGUUUCAUCAUCACUUUCAGCCUUCCCAUCUUCUUUCCUCGAAGCAUAAUUUCACAACAUUAAAAUAGAUCUCGUGCGAAGAAGAUCUGGAUCAAAGUCAAUAGUUGAAACACAGUCAUCAAAAGUAAGGCACUUAGCAUAUGUCACCAUAUAUAAAAACUUAGAACAAACAAAUACAAAAUACAUAUCUAACCCCUAGCAAAUGCAUUAUAUAUAAUUACAACAUACAAAAUACGUAUCUUAAAAAUAACAAAUACAUAUCUCCACACUACAAUUCCAUAUCUUCACAAUAACUCUCACAUAAGCAGAUAAUUUAUCAAAUGUAUAUAUAAAAUACAUAUAUGAUCAUACAGUCCAAAAAAAAUUAAAAUACAAAUGCAUAAAAUUUUAUGAAUACAUGAAUGGUCUAAAAUUUAAAUUACCAAGAAAAGAAUACAACUGAACAUCAAAUACAAAUCUUCUCAAUAACUAAUACAGAUAUCCUACACAUAUCUUAAAUACAAAAUACAUAUAUUAAAUAUGUUAUACAUAACAAAACAAAUCUUAUCAGUAACAAACCUAAAUACAAAAUACAUAUCUUAAAUAUAUAACAGAUACAUAUCAUCCCAUUAGCAACUGCNNNNNNNNNNNNNNNNNNNNNNNNNNNNNNNNNNNNNNNNNNNNNNNNNNNNNNNNNNNNNNNNNNNNNNNNNNNNCAGAAAUUAUAAAAUUUUACAAAUAGAAAAAUACCUCUUCCACUUUCUCUUCUUCAGAUUCAUAAUCAGAUAAAAAAACAAGACUUGAAAUUUGACAAGAUUCUCCUUUUUCAUCCGACUUUCUCUUUUUCACCAAUUUUUAAAUUUUUGUGAGUUUUGGGGAUGAAGAUUUUCUCAAUGCUUUUCGUUUCAUGAUUUCCACAAUCUUUUUCGGAUCGUUACGCUGAUUCGAUCUCACCUCUACUUUGCUAACANNNNNNNNNNNNNNNNNNNNNNNNNNNNNNNNNNNNNNNNNNNNNNNNNNNNNNNNNNNNNNNNNNNNNNNNNNNNNNNNNNNNNNNNNNNNNNNNNNNNNNNNNNNNNNNNNNNNNNNNNNNNNNNNNNNNNNNNNNNNNNNNNNNNNNNNNNNNNNNNNNNNNNNNNNNNNNNNNNNNNNNNNNNNNNNNNNNNNNNNNNNNNNNNNNNNNNNNNNNNNNNNNNNNNNNNNNNNNNNNNNNNNNNNNNNNNNNNNNNNNNNNNNNNNNNNNNNNNNNNNNNNNNNNNNNNNNNNNNNNNNNNNNNNNNNNNNNNNNNNNNNNNNNNNNNNNNNNNNNNNNNNNNNNNNNNNNNNNNNNNNNNNNNNNNNNAAAAGGAUAAAUUGCUUGAAAAUAGGUAAAGGAAAAGCAAUUGGUGGAAUUCACAUGCUUAACUCUAGAAAAGUCAAAAUAUUGCUAGUUUUGACAUAAGUUGUAAUUUUGAGAAAGUGUUGUUAUUAAUUGUAAUUAACAUCUUAAGGUUGUUAGCUUCUGUAAUUUAUCUUUUAAUAAUGUACUAAAAUUUGGUAACCUUAUACAUGAAAUUAUAUUGUAUGGAGAUAUCGUAACAUUGAAUUGGUUGAUCCAUACAAACGCUUCACUACAUGUAUAUUAAUUACUAUAGCAUAAGACGAUACAAUGAUAGCUGCAAAAGAAAAAAUUCUCACGAAAAUAUUGUACGAUGAUAUAGAUAUCAUGUCAAAAUAUUUCAUCAUACAUAAGUCUAUAUGUAUGAUGAGUCAUUAUACAUUAGUAUACCAGAUUUUUACACAUUUAAUAAUGUAUAGGAACAAUCAAUACAAUAGUAAUUACAUUAACCGCAGUAACAUAUUAAAAAACGAACUUCUUUAAGAAUCUAUAACAAUCAAAUUUUCCAUAUUUAUUCAACGUAUAAUAUAAUACAAUACAUAUCAGAAAAAAAUAACAAAACUUAACAACUAUAAUACGACAACUGCAAUUUCUAUUAAAAUAUGUAUUAGUGGCACUAUUCUAUGUUCAUAUUGAUUUUUUUGAGAACUGAAGAAAGCACUAGAAGAUGGGUUUUUUUUAACGCAAUUUAACAAAGAAGAAAAUUUAAUGUGAUGUUUAACAUAUAUUUUGAAUUUAAAUUUCACUUAUUAUAUUUAAUAAUACAUCACUAAAUAUUAAGUAAUUAAUGGCGUGAAUUAAGGAACAGGUUGAUAUUAUCAAAUUUAUUUUUACUUAGAUAUAGCCUAUUCAGCUUUAUCAUACAUUCCAGCAAUACAUGAAGGUUGACCAGAUGUAUAAGUAUCUUUUUCAAAACAGGGAGAGAGAAAGGCUGGAGGGAUUUUAUAUAAUUACUUUCAUUUACUAAAGGAUUUACAUAGUUUAUACAAAAAGAUUAAAAGAAAAAUAUUUCUUUACACAUUGUACUAAGAAUUUGUGGGAUCUUGAUUUGUCGUCUACGCUGAGUUAUGAUCAUAUCACACGUAUUUGCGUCAGUAUAUAUUGACCCAAACUAGCUUUUAAACCAUUUAAUUGCACCACCUAUCUUUGGACUUGGUUUCAAUUGUUGUUCUUCAAAUGAUGGUCUUCUAUGAUCGCGGUAUCCGAACCAAUUUUCACGCAACUCGCUAAUCGAACUUAUAUCUAGUGAGACAUGCAUUCUUUAAGAGCACGAGACAUAAUUUGUGAGUUAUCAUAAUGUGAAAAUAUAAACUUAUGCCCUACUAAAAAGUUAAUUUGACUUAACGGGCAAAGUUUUUUAUUUUUUUGAUUAAGAAAAAUCGUUCCUAAACAGCAGCCGAGCAAGCGAUGACGACAUGAGGCACCUCUUGGUUCUUGCCUUACUUCACGGGCAAAGUUUUAGACCAGCACAAAAUAAGGGCAAAAGCAAAUGACUCGCCUUACCCAGAUUGACACCCCUAACAAAUAGAAUUCAUAGGUCCAAUAAUUGAUUUCAUAAACUUUAACAAAUUUAACUUCUAUCAUCACUUUCCAGUAAUUGGUUAAUCAUUUUGCCAAUGCGGGGAAUAUUUCCAUUAAUCUUCAAGAAUCCAUAGAGUCAUUACUGCUAGUGCUGAAUAUUGUUCAGUAGUAAUUCUUAAAAAGUAUACAUAGGCAAAUAUAGGAAAGCCAAAAGUACAGAACAAGUGUAACCUUGUGCACCUCUUUAAAGCCAAAUUUCACAAUAAAAUCGAAGACCAAUUCUGCUACCCACGUUAAUUACUAAAAGAGCUUUAAGUUUUGCUUCAGCGUAACUGUCAGAUAGUUUCUUCAUUCUUGCACAAUAAAACAAAGGUUACUGUAACAGAAAGAUUAACUGUAAUUGGUGUUCAUUGUCAUAUCAAUCAUCGAUGUGAAUUUCGUGUACUAUCUCAGCUACCAUGGAAAAGCAAUUAGUUCAACAAUUAUUUGAUCUCAAAAGGACGGUCAAUCUACUUAACUUUAAGAUUAUAUCUUCUAAGAUUCCGGAACUAGCCAAAUCAAAACUCUUAAAUAUGAAAAGAUUCUGCAGAAAUGGGACAAAAGCAAAAGUAACGUCAGUCUGUUGGCUGCAAAUGUCGAACCAAGACUUAUUUUCACUGUUUCAAGCACUUACACAGUUGAUUAUACAUGACUAGAAAUGCAGGAAGCACAUUUGUGGAUCCAAUUGCAACUAGCUCCUAGCUCAAGGUUCUCCACCAAGCUCCACUCUUAAGUUGUCGUAUGGAUAGACCUUUGGUGUCUGCUCAUUAAAAAAACAGAAGUUACAGAAAGAAAGAAAAAGAACAAUGGCCAGCCAGUAAAGAUGAAGAUAGGGGGGGAAUUAAAAGCAAGAGUUUUAUGAUAAUCAGAGAAUAAGAGAGGUCGCAAGCAGUUAAGAUGGAUUAUAUAUAAUAGUAAAAGCGCCUUCACAGAGUAUGCGAUACCUUGGUAUUUAUAUUUAACAUUUGAUAGUGGGAUCGCAUGGCCAGCAUUACUUGCUGANNNNNNNNNNNNNNNNGGGAAAGAGCCCAUGCAUGUGUCCUACGCGCGCCCUUCCCAACAUCCUUAAGGGAAGAAGGGGGUGAUCCAAUGACUUCUCCCUACUAGCAGGUGGAAGUCGCGUGUACCUCUCUCAAAUGCUUUCACCUAACGCUUAGGUUAUUGAUAAGGGCCAGUACUGCUCAAAACACAAUCUCAAAUUUCCUUCCCCCCAGAUGCUUUGAAUAUAAGAAAAUGAUAAAUACUAUCAACUAUGUUACAGACAAUCACUAAGAUGCAACCUCAGAAAGUGUCUAGACAGUCUCAUACAUUUUCUAGUACAACUUGUGGAACUUUAAUCACGUUAACUAGCAGGUAUAGUGUCAAAUCUUAAGCUGCUGUAGAAGAAGCCAAGAGCAGUCUAUAUUAUUGAGAUGAUUAAGGAUUCAAGAUUCUAAAGAAGGAAACUCUAGUUCACGUCCUUAACUCUGACAUGUUUCUGUAACCAUUUUCGGCACUUGCAUGAAAAGUGAAUUCGAAAAGCAUAACAGCACCCAGUAUCUGUUGAGCAUUAAUAUAGCUUCAUUCGAACGUGAAUUCUAUGCACCCCCCGCGCGCGCACACACAAAAAAAAAAAAAAAAAAAAAGAAUCCAAAAUUUCUUCUACAUCGUACUACUUGAGUGAAUUAGUCUAGUCUCUUGCUUAUGUAUUUUUUUUCAUUUUAUUUUAGAAUAUAACUGUUUACGAUCUUGCAAACAAACACCCAUAAACUCCAACAAGUACCAUAGAACAUAUUGAACACAUUGAUAUCUUCACAAACUUCCAUAGAUAGAGCAAAGAAAGUGCAAUGUAGUUGUGGGAAUAGCACACAGCAAAUUAGUAACAAUACUGCGCAAAUCUAGUGGUGUGUUAUCCCAUUUUGUUGUUUGUUUUUAUGUCUUUUGUUUCUUAUACUGCUAUUUUUCCUGAGCUAGGGGUCUAUCGAAAACACCCUUUCUACUUCAUCAUCUGAGGUAGUAGUGUGGACUACGUACAAUUUGACCUCCCCAGACCCCACCCCACCACCCCACUUCUCUGUGGGAAUACACUGGGUAUGUUUUGUUGUUGUUGUUACUAAGCCACAGGGAUAACUUGGAUCUUUAGGCAGCAUAUAACAUUCAACAGAGAAGUUGAUUAUUAAAAAGAACACAACAUCAACAAAUAACUUGAAACCAUUAUACUAUUUUCUAAAACAAUAAAGCUUAAGAGAGUUCUUUUAAUGCCUACCUAAUCAAAUCACAACCAACAUCAAACAACUUUAUGAAUACAAACAAAACCUAGACAAUGAUAGCAUAACUCAUAUUAGUAAAGGACAUCUAGUUGGAUUACCGCACAACAAAAUAAAAUAAAUAAUAACUUGCAUAUGACAAUUCUACGUGGACUAAUCUAUCCCUAAUACGAACCUUCAGCAAACAUUUAUCAUCUAUUGGCACUUCAUCACACAAAGUUAAGUAUAUUUGAUAGCGUAAAACUUUGGUUUCUUCAAUGACUUACAAUCUGACCAAGAAAACAAAGACAUAUUUGUCUUAGAUGAAGUAAAAGGGAUUUCACUAAAACAGCAUCCAGAGUGUGCAAAAUACAAAAAGGAUAGCACCAGUACAAGGAAUCCUCUAAUAAAUUUAGGUCAACGUUCUCCCUAGAAAAUACUUCCCUAAGUAUUUACCAAAACAACACACGAGAAAAUAGGAUAACACUUUCCUCCAUACCAAACACAACAUUAAUGAAGAAGUGGCAAAAGGAAAUUGCCAUGGAAAAAAAACUUAGGAUAUGAAGCUCUAAUUGAUCAAAUCCAGGUGGAGAAUUCAAACCCCAAGAUACUAGCGCUUGCAGAGCCAGAAUGGGAUUUAAUUAAGGUCAAGAAACGAAAAGGUGUUAAGGUGGUGCAUUGAGGAAAUGCAGAUUCUAGCUCUAGCAAUCCUUGAAGUACUAUACCACGGAUAUUUUCCCCAUCCCACUGGGGCGAUCUUUAUUUUUGAGAAGUAAUGAAAGAUCCAAAUGGUAUGCUGUUGUAGUUAAAAAAGAUCUUAAGGCAUUAUAACUAGUGGUGGAUUACUGGAUUGACUACAGGUGGUGAAACAUCAGGCAACCCCCUAUUCACUGAUGGUUUGGUUGAAGGUGCUGUGCACCAAAAGUGUGCAGAAGAAUUGACAGGGUGAGAGAUCGAGAGAAUCAGGCAGAUGCUCUGAAGGACUUGUUAGGCACUAGGCAUCUCUUAAGUUUGAUAGGACAAAGUACGUGAAUAAUUUGGCAAAGAAUAAGUAAUACUCUUUUCUGGUUUUUUGAUUCUAGCAUUACAUAAUUCUGCCAUAAUACCACAAUAUUUCAACAUUGAUUUUCCCAACUUAAAAGGAGAAGGUCACAUAAUAAACUCUAAUAAUCCACAUGAUGCUGGUCAUUUGGCCACAGAACAAAGAAACCACAGCUGCAAAAGAGUUCUUCUUUAGUUUUCAUCCAACACUAAGCUUAGCAAACACCUCAAAGUAGCUUAGCCACAAAUCGACACAGUAAACAAGACACAAGUACAUCUAUUGUAAACACACUCACAACAAAGUACAACUCACAUCUGGACAACAUAGUACAGUAAUGUCAUGUCAUCAAAGCAUAAUUGAUUCACAUUAAAAUGGAAAAACUGAAUUAGAAUUCAAUAAACGUAUACUUACAAAUGGGAUUUUGGAGGCCUUGUCAUUCCAAACAGCUAACAAUCCAAUCCCAGCAAAACAACUCAAUCCACCACACAACCAAGCCAAUGCCUCAUACUGACAUUAAAAGCAGUUCAAGAAUCUUCAAUUAUCAUAUAUACUUAAUUUGACUAACAAAAGAGAAACACAGAAAAUAGUAAACUGUAAAAACCAUGAAGAUGAUUCAAAUACUAAUCCCCCUUUCCAACAGAUACAAAAUCCUCGGAUCACAUUGCCGAUUCGAAUACAAAAUACAAAUCUUAAACCAAAAAUCUAACCUCUCCAACUAGAUAUAAAAUCUUCAAAGUUUAAUUACUAAAUCUUCAACUUUUAAUCUACUAUCAAAAUAAAAAAUGUAAAACAUGAAAAACAAUAAAAAUGGGAUUCCAAUAACAAUCUUUAUCAAAAUAUCUAACCUUUCCAACAUCAACAAGCAAAUCUCCAAUAAAUAACAACAUACCCAUUAUGAUCCCACGAAGUGUAGUCAGAAGAGAGUACGAGUACACUGUAUGCAAACCUUACCCCUACCUUAUAGGUCAAGAGGUUGUCUCGGAUGAGACCCUCAGCUCAAGGGAAAAUAGUCCAAAGCAAUCAGAAAAAGAAGUAACACAAGUACAAGAAACAAAACAGAAACUACAAUACUAUAAUACGAUAAUCGAGGUAUAAGUAACAACACAGAGUAACAAAAAUCAAAGGACCAAAGGACAAAAACUACCAAAGCAAUUAAUACUAUGGCUACUAAUAUAAAAGGGACACAAGAUUAACACACUAUACGCUGAUCCAUAUCCUCCACGCCCUCCUAUCUAAGCUCAUAUCCUCGAUAAGCAAGCAAAUCUCCAAUAAACACUAAAACCAAUUCAACAAAAAAAUGAAAAAUUUUAAACAAUAGCAAUUAAAUGGGAAUCCAAAAACAAAUCUUCAAUUACCAACAAAAAAAAAUAAAACCUUUCCAACAGUAUCUACUAUCUGAUCAGAUAGUAAUAGAACAGAAACUACAAUACUACAAUACAAUAAUCGAGGUACAUGGAACAAUAGAGAGUAACAGAAAUCAAAAGACAAGAACUACGGAAGCAAUAAUACAGUGGCCACUAAUAUGAAAGGGCCACAAAACAGCGCACCGCUGCCUACUAGGCUUCUACCCUAAUCCAUAUUCUCCACGCCCUCCUAUCUAAGCUCAUAUCCUCGAUAACCAAGCAAAUCUCCAAUAAACACUUAAACUAAUUCAACUAAAAAAUGAAAAAUCAUAGACAAUAGCAAAUGAAAUGAAGAUCAAAAACACAAAUCAUAAAAUUAAAUAAAAAAUCUAACCUUUCCAACAGUAUCUGCUAUUCGAUCAAUACACGGCUCCGGAAAAGGAGUUCCAUUAUCCCAUAUAAGUUCAUCAUUCACUUGAAGCUACAAAAUAAAUAAAUAAAUAAAAUUAAAACAAAAUUAGGGUUUACAAAUCAAAUUUUUUUAAAAUUAAAAAUAAAAAGGUAUAAGUACUGUAUAUAAUAUAUUUAUACUAUAUGCAUUUACCGGCUUAUCAGGUACAAUGUGUUUGCCGACGGGAAGGCCCAUGCCGGCGCGUGUUCGAAGAGAAGAUGCGACGGCGCGUGAAACGACGCCGUUACCUCCCAUGAUGCGUGUAGCUGCAUUGCUUAAUCUUCCGGCCAUUUUUCGAUGAUCGGAAAUUGUUCGCUUAUCGCCGAUGGUUUUUUCGUAAUUCAACGAUUUGUGAUUCAGCUCACUUUUUGUUUUUUCCCUAGUAGAGAUUUGUGAUUCGGGUAAUGAACUCAAACGUUACCUAUUUUAUGUUUUGAUCCUUGUUUUAGUGUGAGUUGCAGAAACGGAACCAAAGUUUACUAGUUUACAAAUACGUCCCUCUAAAGAUGGAAAUGUUGGAAAAGAAAUGUACCUCCAUAUAUAUAAUAGAGUAAAGAAGUUUGCAUAAAAUUAUGUCAAGUGGCAUAUUGAGAACUAGUCACUUAAUAUUUUGGCAACAAAAAUCUGUUUUCUUGGUAACAAAAUUUAUUUAACUGAUUAAUUAUUUAUUUUAUAUAUAGAUUUUUAAAUUUUCAUAUCUAUUUUCAUAUUGUGGUAAAAAAUAUUGAAUGACCACUAUUAUUUAUUUUUAUUCUAUUAUAUCAUAUUUUCAUAUUGUGAUAAAAAUAAUUAUAAUUGACUCCUAUGAAUGAACACUAUUAUAAUUAUUUAUAUAUUUCAACUCUUUAUAUAUAAUAAAGCAAAAUGUUUGAUGAAUAUUUUUGUUUAUUUUUAUUCUAUUAUUUCAUAUUGUGAUUAAAAAAAUUAGAAUUGAUUACUAAUACUAAUAAUGAACACUAUUAUAAUUAUUUAUAUAUUUCACAUCUAUAUAUAUAAUAAAGCAGAGAAGUUUGCAUAAAAUUAUGUCAAGUGCCAUUUUGAGAACUAUUCACUUAAUAUUUUGGCAACAAAAAUCUAUUUUGUUGGCAACAAAAUUUAUUUUACUGAUUAAUUAUUUAUUUUAUAUAUAGAUUUUUAAAUUUUCAUAUCUAUUUUCAUAUUGUGGUAAAAAAAUAUUGAAUAAACACUUAUUUAUUUUUAUUCUAUUAUAUCAUAUUUUCGUAUUGUGAUAAAAAUAAUUAUAAUUGACUCCUAUGAAUGAACACUAUUAUAAUUAUUUAUAUAUUUCACAUCUAUAUAUAUAAUAAAGCAGAGAAGUUUGCAUAAAAUUAUGUCAAGUGCCAUUUUGAGAACUAUUCACUUAAUAUUUUGGCAACAAAAAUCUAUUUUGUUGGCAACAAAAUUUAUUUUACUGAUUAAUUAUUUAUUUUAUAUAUAGAUUUUUAAAUUUUCAUAUCUAUUUUCAUAUUGUGGUAAAAAAAUAUUGAAUAAACACUUAUUUAUUUUUAUUCUAUUAUAUUAUAUUUUCCUAUUGUGAUAAAAAUAAUUAUAACUGACUCCUAUGAAUGAACACUAUUAUAAUUAUUUAUAUAUUUGAACUCUUUAUAUAUAAUAAAGCAAAAUAUUUGAUGAAUACUUUUGUUUAUUUUUAUUCUAUUAUUUCACAUUGUGAUAAAAAAAUAAUUAGAAUUGACUCUUAUUAAUGAACACUAUUAUAAUUAUUUAUAUAUUUCACGUUGUGGUAAAAAAUAGUUAAGUUUGACUUCUAUUUAAUUAGUAUAUAGAUUAUUUCAUAAAUAUGUAAAAAUUCGACAUAAAAAUUUCGUCAAUUGCUCCUAAUUCCACUGUCAUUAGAAGUAAUUUCACAAUUUGUAUUCUAAAUAUAUAUUCCAAUCAAGUUAUAGGGGUAAUUCCACAGUCUGUAUUCUAAUUUUCAAGUAUAUAUUUCAAUCAAUCAAGUGAUUUAAGAAGAUCAUCUGUCAAUUACUCCUAAUUCCACUAUCAUUAGGAGUAAUUCCAUAAUUUGUUUUCCAAAUAUAUAUUCCAAUCAAGCUAUAGGAGUAAUUCAUCAAUCUGUAUUCCAGUUUCCAAAUAUAUAUUGCAAUCAAACGAUACUCCUAAUUUCACAAUUUGUAUUCCAAUUUCCAAAUAUAUAUUUCAAUCAAUCAAGUGAUUUAACAAGAUCAUACAAAUGGUAGAUGGACAUGGUAAGUGAAUUGUAAAUUUCCUUACUCCCAUAGAUAAAAAGUAGAUGGUUAUGCUAAGUGAAUCGUAUAUAUAUUAAAUCAAACCUUUACACUGCCAAUCAUUACCAUAUAUGGCUAUGGUAAGUGCUACUAAAUUAUAAUAUAACUAAUCAUGAGGCAAUAAUUUUAUAUGGAAAAGUAAUAUAUUUUCAUCAUAUAUUCUGAUCAUAGUUGAUUCUAACUAAUUUUAUAAAAAAAAUCAUAUAAUUAUAAAAGAAAAUGCAUAGUUAACAUAAUUAUUAUUAGUUAAGAUGAGUGUCAUCUUGAGAACUAACUAUUUGAAAUCUUAUAACAAAAAACUAUCAUUUCAUAACAAAAAACUAUUUUGUUUAUUAUUUAAAUAUUAAAUAUUAUUUCAUAUUGUGGUAAAAAAAUAAUUAAAAUUCAUUUCUAUUAGAAGAAAACUAUUAUGAUUUAAUAUUAUUUCGUUUAAUUUAUUUCAUAUUGUGGUAAAAAUAUGGUAAAAAACAAUUAACAUUAAUUUCUAUUAGAUGAAAACUUUUAUGAUUAUUCAAUUAUUUCAUAUAUAUAUAUCAUUUGGUAUCUGUUUGGAAAAUCGUUAUUACUUGAAAUAAACACAAAAUUCAAUUACUUUCACUUCUAAUUAAAAAAAUAACAAAGGGACAGGGAUAAAAAUAGCCCAAGUGACAUCUUGAGAACUAGCCAGUAACUAAGUUUGACUAAUAUUGAAUGAAAACUACCAUUACGGAAAGAGAGAUAAUUAUGUAAUCAAUUAAAUAUAAAAAAUUACAGGAGAUGUAGUGCACAAAAAUAGAAAACUUUUAGUAUUUACUUUUCAUCAAUUCUAUAUUAAUCAGAAUUAAAGCAUAAUCUUUACAUUUAAACGAUUUAUACUUGAGUUGUAGGUUAAGAAUUAUAAAUUGCUAAUAAAAUUAUUAAUGCGUAUUAAUUUUCCUUUAUAGAUAGACUUUUUUCAACAUGUUAGGUCAUUCUAUAAAACAUUUACUAUAUUGUGUAUAAUAUUAUCAUAAAAUAAUAAUUUAUUUUCAUGAAAUCUCUUUUUUUCCAUAUAAAUGAAUUUUAAAAAAAAUAUAAAAGCAAACGAUUUAUAGUAAAUUUCAAUCAACAUCGAUUAUUUCCUUUUUUAGCUAGAAAUAUUUUUGUUAAUUCUACCUAAACAAUUUAUUACUAAUUUAUUGCUCAAAAAUGGUAAAUUGCUUACAGAUUAUAAUCUCAAUUAAUUCUCUUUCAUGCAGGGACUUUUUUUCACAAAUAAACAAACUUAUUCAUUUAAAUCACAGCCUUUUGCAUGACCAAAUUAUUUGAUCAAUUUUAUUUUUUUUACUUUGUUUAGAUUUUUAAGUAAAUAUUAAUAUGAAAAAGUUAUUUCAUAUUUAAAUUAUCACAUUAAUUAUAUGAAAGUUAUUAAUUGAUUAGCAGUCAAGCAACAUACAUGGUAAAAUAAUAUUGCAAUUAAGAGUCAUUUCUAUAUAAAAAUCUCUAUGUAAAAUAUUAUAUAUAUAUGUGAAUUCUAACUCCACAAUAUCAAUCUAUGAGAUUAUCUGAAGAAGAAAGCAUAGAAACAAGAACUCGCUCGACUAAGGAGGAUGUUUUAUUCAUCUCUUAGUGUAUUUCCACAGAAGAAAGAAAAAACCAUUGUUAUGUACACAUACGGUUCGAUAGAGAAUUAGUUUUGAACUUCUCAGUUAUUUUUCUUUGAACACUAUUCACUCACAUACUCACUAUCAUAUUCUAUAAUGAUUUAAUUAUUGUAAUAUAGUUUCUUCUGCAAUUUGUAAAAAAAAACAAAAACUGAUGCUAAUUGCUUGAGGAUGUGUCUUUGGUUUUUUAAUUUAUUUUUGAGUAGUUGAUGAUUUCUAGAUUAUGAACCCAACUAAUUUUAUUUUCUUAUUUAGUCUUGCUAUGUUUUUUUUUAUCUUCCAAUUAAUAGUUGUAUUCUCUUUCCUGUAUUUUUCAUUUCUUCGAUUUUGUUUACAUUUUUGAAAUUUUUAUUAUUGAUGUGAUUAUUCAUUAAACUUAAUUGAUACUGCUUUCUUUUUCUAUAUAGUUUUUAGAAGAAAUUAAUAUACAAAAACCUAACAGAAUUGCAAAUUAUUGAGUGUCAUUUUGAGAAAAGGUGAAUUUUCUACUUGAUUUUAAAUGAGGUUCUGAAUACGUGUGUAUGUGUGUGCGUGUGUAUAUAUUGGUGAACUAUUUAUAUAUACAUCUAUAUAUAUAAUAAAGUUGUAUAGUCUAACCUAAAUUUAAAUCAAGUGGCAUCUUGAGAACUAUUUUCUCAAAUUCUUACAAUAAAAAAUAAUCAUUUUAUAAGAAAAAACUAUUUUAUUGAUUAUUUAAAUAUUUAAUAUUAUUUCUUAUUUCAUAUUUUGGUAAAAAAAAAUAACUAAUAUUUAUUUCUAUUAGAUGGAAGCUAUUAUGAUUUGAUACUAUUUCAUUUAAUAUUAUUUCAUAUUGUGGUUAAAAAUAAUUAAAUUUUAUUUCUGUCGGAUGAAAACUAUUACGUUUGUUCAAUUAUUUCAUAUUAAGAUUAGUAGUUAAUUAUGUCGUAUUAUUUUGUGUUUUUAUUGAUUAUUAUUUAUUUAAUAUUAUCUCACAUUUCAUAUUGUGGUAAAAAUAAAUGAUUGUUCAAUUAUUUCAUAUAAAGAUUAGUAGUUAAUUAAUUUAUGCUUUGUCGAUUAUUUAUUAUUUAUUUCAUAGCUUUCGUAUGUUUAAAAAAAUUAUGUAAUAUUAGUUGUGCAAUUACUUGACAUAUAUGAAAAAACAUUGAUUAACUCAAUUUGACAGGGUAAUCAAUUACAAUUAAGAGAUAUAAUUGGAAAAAAAAUAUUUUAAUUGAGAUGAGAAACUUUUAGAUGGAAGGAUGUAAAAUUUUGAAUUCAAAUAAAACAAAAAUACGAAUUUAAUUGAAAGAUAGUUAAAUUAGAUAUUACUAUUAUAUUGAGACUAAUCCAACUAAUUAAACAAUCUUUGUAUGAAUUUCACUAAUUACAUUUUUGUAUAAUAGAAAAUAGUUAAUUGCCAAUCUUGAAACAAAUAUUAUCAAAUGGGGAAUAUGAUAAUAUAGAUGUCACCAAUAUCUGGUGCAGUGAAUGGGGUUGCUCCACCCUUAACCAGCGGUCGAGGGUUUGACCUGUGUAUGGAGAAAACUCUGUUGGGAGUGCUGCCACCUUAAUGGGCCCUGCAACGCGCGAUCCGAAUUAGUUGAGGCUCCAAUAACGGCACCGGACACCGGAUGAAAAAACAAAAAAAAAAUGCAGAUGUCAUCCCUUAAAAUAUACAAAUAAUAUAAAUAAUGAUAUUAAAAAAUUAUGAUUUCAUUACUACUGAGUAAAUCAAGAAAGUAUUACAAGAAAAAUUUGUGAAUUAAUAAUCAAUUAUCAAUCAAACAACUUAUAUGAAAAAAGUUUAAUUGACAUUUUUUAAAAAAAUAUUUCAACUUUAAUCACAAAUAAGUUUGACCUAUUUUUGUAAAACAAUAAAUGAAUAAAUAUAAGAAAAUCCGUAAUUAGGAAAGAAAAUAAGUGUUACCUUAUUUGAGUGACUAGAAAAUUAUAAAGAUAAUUAAAUAAUCAAUUGACUAUAGUCAAAUUAUAAUUUUAUAAGAAUUUUUUGAGAAAUAAAUCAGUAAUUGAGAAAAAAAUUAAUUGUUACCUUUUUAAAAUUCUUCCCCAAAUUAUAAAGGUAACUAAUAUCAAAUUAAUAUAAUAAAACUAUAAAACUAUGAGAAAUUUAUGGGAUUGAAUUUCCGAAAUUAUAAAAGUAACUAAUAUCAAUUGUUUCCGUUUUUGAGUCUUUUAUUUAAUUGUACAUUAAUUAAAUAUAAUCAAGAUAUAAAAUUAGGAUAGAUUUAUGGUAAGUAGAUAUUUAUAAUUUUAAAUAGUUUUAUUUUCAUCAAAUUAAUUAGAUGAAAUUGAUGUAAAAAUCAGUUUAUAUUGAGAAUUAUUUUAACAAAAAAUAUAUGCAAAGUUACGUAAUUGAUAUACAUAUAUUGGUAAAAACAACAACGAAUAUUGACUACUACUUUAGCCAUAAAUAUAUUUUGGAAUUUACAACAUUAAAUUUAAGGAACUUGAGUUUAUAUAUUAUGAUAAUAAAAUUGAUUCUUAUUAAUUAAAAUCAAUUAGUUGAUUGUGUAGUCAUAUUACAAUUAUGUCGUACUUUAUUUAUUUAAUGAAAAUACAUAUAAUUAAUUAACUUAUUUUAUGCAAUCUACUAUGAACUUAUUAAUUCAAAUGAAAUAAUUUUUAAAUGGUAAUUUAGGACUAUAAAAGAAAGGAGAUUAUUUUGUUGAAAUUUUAAAUUAAUAUGUAUUAAUCUAUUUUAGUGGGGUAUUAGUAUUCAACAAGAUCUCCACAUUUAAAUGGAGUAAUUGUAUGGAUUUAGCAUCUUUUAUGUAUCCAAAAAAAUAGAGACAGAAAAAUAUAAUGCCACAACAUUUUUGAAUUAUUUAAUUUAUUUAUCAUGUUUUAAAAUAUUGUUUAUAUCAAUUUAGUGAUGUUUAUAUGCAAAAGUUAAAUUUUGAAAAAAAAAAAUCUUAAGUUUUAUAAUUUAAGUUAAUUUGUGUACUAAUUUUAAAAAGUUAAUUUAUAAUUUACAUUCUAUUUUUAUUAUAUGAAAAAUUUGACCUUAUAUGGCUAUAUAUAUACUAUUUCAAUAACACAAAAAUAUUGUCACACUUUCCCCCCCCCUCUCUCUCUCUCUCUGUUAUUAUUAUUGAUCAUUAACCUUAUUGGUAUUUAUCAAGCUUUUCACUAUGAAUAUGUAGAAAUAAGAAUUGUCAAUACUUUGUUGAAUAUUAAUUCAAAUUUUUCUUCAUAAAUUCCAGGCUUUAAAUAUAAAGGUUUCAACAUAAUAAGAAUCACACAUAUUGAUAAAAUAUUAUCAAUAUUUCAGAAUGAGAGUUCAGCAGAAUAAUAUACAUAUAAGAAGGUUGAACAAUGUAAUCACAAUGUAACAUAGGUUUGAAACAAGAAAAUCAUUUGUUGAAAAUGAUUUGAAUUAUUCGUAGUGAUUUUUGUUUCUCGAGAAAAUUAAGUUUGUUAAUUUUUUAAUCUCUUUAUACAAAUAUAAAUUUAUACUAUUAAUAAUAUAAUUUCUUGAUUAUAUAUUAUUUUGAGGUCUUGCAUAAUUAUGGUAUAAAAAUGAUUGAUUUUUUUAUUUUAUUAAUCGUUAUUCAAUAUCAUAUUUUGGUAUAGUAAAAGAUCCUCAUAUUGAAAGACUGUUGUCACUAAUUAAUAAUGAGAUUCAAGAAGAAGAAACCUAUGAGAAGGUCACUAUAUAUUCAAAUAAUAUAGGUUUGAAACAAGAAAAUUAUUUGUUAAAAAUGAUUUUAAUUAUUCAUAGUAUUUUUCUUUCUUGAGAAAAAUAAGUUUGUUACCUUAGUGAUUUCUUUAUCCAAAUACAAAUUUUCUAAUAUAGUCUCACUAAAUAAUGAAUCUAUUAAUAAAAACAAAAAAACAUAUCAAUUUUUUUGACGCGAAUGAAAAAUAAAAAUUUCAAGAUCUUGCUUGAGAUUAUUAUGUGAUUUAUUAGUUUAAAAUUUUAAAUUUUUUAAAGAUAAAUUUUAUCUCUUUUUAUAUUUAGUAUUAUGAUCAUAUUUUGACUUAAAUGUGAAUGUUAUAAAUGGUAUAACUAGAACGAUACUAAUAUUUUUUCUUUAUACUUGGUCUCCUUUAAAUAUUCGUAUAUAGGUAAAUAUUUUUAACAAAUUCAAAUUGAUUUUAUCUACUUUUUUUCAUUUUAAAGUAAUUUAUUAUGAAUUAUUUGUUAUGAACAAUUCAAGAAACUAUAAUUGAUUGGAGAUUUUGACUUGCAUUUCAUUAGUUUAUGUUGGCUUAUUUAUUGGUCAAUAAAAUAUUUUAUUAUGCUUUACUAUAUGAUAAAUUUGUAAAUCUAAAUUAUUUUUUUAAUCUAUCUUUGUUUAAUGAUUACUUUUACUUAAAUAUUAUCCGCACAUCAUGCGUGUACUAAUACUAGUUGGGUUUAAAAACAUUGUCAUGUGAUUUCUUAAUUUGUUUCGUUUUCUUUUAAUCUUACAAAGCCAAAACAUUGAACGAGUUGCUUCAAUUUAUCCAAAUCAAAUUUUAAAAAUUUCUUGCUAAGAUUUUUUUUUUUAAUUCUUAGUAAUAUGACAAUAGAGUAUUAAAAAGCCUCAUUUAGUGAGAAUUAAUCAAAUUUGUUUUCUAGGUCCGCAAAAUAAAAAAGAUAAAAUGGUUCGGUGGACUCUUAUAUUAUAUCCGUUUUGUAAUGUGUACACUUCUACUUACAUGUUUGUCAUCUGAACUCUUGAAUCCACUAAAAAAUAAUAUUUCAAAUCCUUUGACCGCUGAUCAGACCUAUGUGGCAUUAAAAGGGCUGACUAGGACGAGGUGCGAGUAGGGCCAAUUUUUGAUCAAUUUUAUAUUAAAAUAAUUAAAAAAAAUUUAAAAUAAUAUUUAAAUUAAAAAAAGUCCUUUUUUCCCUCCAUCUUUUUAAAUUUAAAAAUAUGUUUAAAAUUUUAAAAAUAAUUUAAAAAUAUUUUUAAAAAGCAAAAAAUCAUUUUAAAAAUAUUUUAAAUUUUUUUUUUUAAAAAAAAAAAUCCAUCCCCACCCCACCNNNNNNNNNNNNNNNNNNNNNNNNNNNNNNNNNNNNNNNNNNNNNNNNNNNNNNNNNNNNNNNNNNNNNNNNNNNNNNNNNNNNNNNNNNNNNNNNNNNNNNNNNNNNNNNNNNNNNNNNNNNNNNAUCACCAUUAACACCCCCGCCCCCACCUUCAUAGCCCCAAGGAUCUCUAUUCGUCAUCAUUUUCUUCAUCAUCAUAUAUCACAAAUUAUCCAGAAAACAGUAAGAUGUCUUUGCUGUGGUUGAUUUGUUAUUGUUGUUCAUUGUCAAAAAAUAAAUAAAUUAUAUAUAUCCCUCAAGAGGGUCUUUGCUGUGGUUGAUAUUGUUGUUGUUGUUCAUUGUCAAAAAAAAAAAUAUUGUUGUUUUAAUUUUUUAAAUUUUUUUAUUCACUUUCUCAAUUUAAAAUUUUCAUUUUGUUUAGGAUUAAUUUUAUAACUUUUACAUAUUGUUAAACAUGUUUAAAUAAAAAUUGAAAAUUGAUUAUGUUUGAGUAUGUGAAUUUAUAGUUAAAAUUUUAAAUUAAUUGGAGAGAAAUUUCAAUUAUUGGAAAUAAAUUUGAUGUUUAGUUAAAUUUAUUGUGUUUGUGUAUUAGAAUUUAUAGUUGAAAAUUUAAAUUAAUUUAUAUUAUAAAAGGAAUUUAUUAAUAAAAGAAAUUUAUUUAAUUAAAUUUAUUUUAAUAUUUAAUUAAAAAUAACAUAAAAUUUAAUGUAAUACUUAAAAAUGAUGUGGCGGCUGAUGUGGCAGCUGACAUGGACAAUCAAAUUUAAUGUAAUACUCAAAAGUGACGUGGAAACUGACGUGACGCGGUUGUGUUACACACACCGUCAGAGGGGUUUAAAAUAUUAUUUUUUAAUGGGUUCAAGGGUCCAGAUGACAAAUAUGUAAGUAGGAGUAUCCACAUUACAAAACGGACACAGUACAAGGUCCACCGAACCAUUUUGCCAAUAAAAAAUAAAGUUCAAUUUUUUUAUUCAUAAGAUGAUUGGGACAAGUGCAUUGACAUCUGCUUAGAGGGUUGUCACCUAAUAUGUAAUCAGAAUAUAGAUUAUUUAAUACCAUUGAUCUCAAAAUCAACUAAAGUACGUGAGAUUAAAGAAAACAAUACAAGGAGUAGGAAAAGGGAGACAUAGAAGGGGGUUGCCCAUAUUAUGUACUAGAAAAUAAGAUGUAUUACUUCUCUCUUGUUGAAGCAGUCAUUAUAUCUCGAAAAGUAAGAAUAAUGACCAAGUCUUUACUGCCUCUAUUUCAUUUCAUUUGGUUCUCGUUGAUUUGAUACAUCUUUUAUAAAAUAUAUAUAUAUAGAUUCUAAUAUCAAAUUAAUUUUAUUAAUAAUAUUUUGUAACUCUUAAUAUAACUACAUAUUACUCUAUGUUGUUGGUUUUAUAUUCAACAACAACAGCAUAUCCCCAGUGUAAGUGUAUUCCCACAUAGUGAAGUUUGGGGAGGAUAAAGUGUGCGCAGACCAUACCACUACCUCAGGUGAAGUAGAGAGGCUGAUUUCGAUAGACUUCAGGCUUAAAACCGAUAAUAGUAUAACAAACACAAAAAAUAAGUGCAAAAUAACUAACACCGCUAGCAACAAGAUAAUACUACCACCACAAGAUAAAAAUAAGAACUAUCUAACCUAAAUCAUAGACAUCACACAACACCACGAAUAAAAAACUACAGACAUAAAAGAACGCUCCCUAAUUGUUACUGAUGAACUCCCACCCCCUAACCCUCUACCCUAAUUCGCGUCCUCUACACCUUUCUAUCAAAUAUCAUGUCCUCCGUAAGUCGUAACUGCUUCAUAUCAUGCCUAAUCACCUAUCUCUAAUAUUUCUUCGGUCUACCUCUACCCCGCCUAAAACCAUCCCUAACUAGUAUCUCACACCUCCGCACUGGAGCAUCCGAGCCCCUCCUCAUCGCGUACCCGAACCAACGUAACCUCACUUCUCGCAUCUAAUCCUCCACUGACGCAACUCCCACCUUCUCCCGAAUAAUCUCAUUCCUCACCCUAUUUUUCCUGAUAUGUCCACACAUCCAUCGCAAUAUUCGCAUCUUAAGAGUUGAAAAAAAUAUAAUAAAUUUUCUUAAUUUAUAAAUUAAAUAAAUAAUUUAAAGUAACUAUUUUUAAUAUAUAUAUCAAGUAAAAUGAAAUGAAAAAGUAUGAUCUUUAAUUUUAGUAGAGAAUAGAUGGAACAGAAGCAAAAGAUAUUGAGGUCAAUUAGAAGGUAAAAAGUUUGUUCUUGCCAGAUAUUUGCAACAAGCUACUCUCUCUGUUUCUUUAUUUAAAGUGUUCCUUUUAAAUUGUAGUAAUUUUAGUUUUAAAUAAGUAUAUAUUUAAAUCCUUAAGAAUAAAUUUUUGAAAGAAAGACGCAAAAAUAUAUUGAUUAUAGUCUUCUUAAUAUGUCUUUGAGUUUAAAUAUAAUAAUUAAUGUCAACUUGAAAAAAGAUAAUAGCAUUUAAUUAGGAAUAAGUUAAUAACAUUUAAUUUUUUAGAAGUGAGUGGUUUAUUUAAAGGUGUAUCCAAGUCAAAAGGAGUAUUUACUUAGAAAUUAAAGGAGUAAGGCAAAAUGUUCUUUUGAACCCCUGUACUAUGUCAGUUUUGUAAGUUGGACACUUCUACUUACAUGUUUGUCAUCUGAAUUCCUGAACCCAUUAAAAACAACUUUUUAAACCCUUUGUCGGUCUACUCAGCUGUGCGUGUUGCACAAUCGCGGUCACGUCAUUAAUUUUGUAUAAAAUAAUUUUCACGUAUGAAAUGACGUGUGUAGAGUAUAACUAGUAAAAUUUGACCUAAAAUUUAGGUCAUUUUAAGCCUUCUUCUCCGCCUCUCCUCUCUCUCUCUCUCUUAUCCGAAACUGAAAAUUAACACGAUUUUAGGGUAAUUUAGGCCGAUAGUUGUUGAAGCUUCUUGCAAUCCUUAUAAGUAUUUAACAUUUUGGUGUAGUUGUAGUAUGUGGUUGUUUAUUCUGAAGCUAAUUGUAGUCGAUUAAAUGGUGAUCCGUUCUACUGAUUUUAGGAUUUUCGAGAUUACAAACUUUUUUCUGUAUUUUUUUGUGUGAUUUUGUUCUUUUCCGUCUGUAGUGUUGUUGUAGGUAGUAUUUGUAGUGAUGAUAUGCCCUCAAUGACAUAUAUCUGGUUUUAAGGUAGAAUUUUGGGUUUUCGAGUUUUUCGUAAACUAAAAAAUUGAGAUCGAAAAUUUAGGGCUUUUGGUUUGUUUGUAGUCUAAUUCUCGUAUUAUGGCUAUAUAUUGCAGUUUUUAUGCCUUCAAUGGCAUUUUUUGUUAUUUCGAUUAAAUUUUAGGGUUUUUUUGAUCAAUUCAGAAUUGGGUCCAAAAAUUUUGGGGCUUUUGAUUUUUUUGUUGUUUAAUGCUCCUAUUAAACGUGUGUAUAAUCAUUUUGUGCCUUCAAUGGCAUGUUUUGUUAUUUUAAUUACACUUUAGGUUUUUUUUUGGGUAAAAUCAGAAUUGAUGUUUUUAUUCCUUAGUUUUUUCUUUAAAAAUUAGGACUUUGUGGAUAAUUGCUGUAGACACCUAAUUUCGUCCCUCCCCGAUGUCGUUUUUACCCAUUUUAUUUUUACCCUACCGUGUACCAUCACCCAUGUUAUUAUAACCCUACAAAAUACAAGAAAAAUAUUACAAAAUCCCUAACAAAACCUAUCCUAACUAAUUCUAUCUUAUCCUAACAACCUACCCAAUCAAAAUAAAACACAUCACACCUACCCCCUACCCCACGUGAUCCCACCUACCCUACCUCACCACUACCCACCCUCACAAUAUAUACACACAUACUCUCACAAAAAAGAGGAAGGCAGGGAUCAGUAACCAAAAGAAAAAAAAGCAGAGGAACCAUCUUCUCCUUCAGGAACUCACGCACAAUUUAAAAAAAAAAAAAACAAAUACAUACACCAUCGAGAAACCACCAUUAAAGCACACACAGACCUCACGAUUCACACACGCACACACUUGCUCUAGCUGGAAAACACUUGCACGCACACACUCAGUAAGGAGAAAUGAAAAAUGGAGGGCGUUUGACGGAAUCCGGCGAAGGAAUAGGGAAAGCGGCGAGAAAUCAAGCUUCUGUUCAAGCUUUUUCCGACGACUUAAGUGCCGGACUCAGUUUCAGCGCCAGUUGUUUGAAUCAGUUUCAUAAUCGCCCAAAUCUCUUUAUUUUCCUUCGAUUUUCUGGACGAGAUCUAGCCGGAAUCCGACCGUUUUAGUUGUUUUUGGUCACUGCUAGCUCACUGGAGGUCCAUUUAUAUAGGAUUUUUCAGUUCUUUGCUGGAUUUAGAGCGCUUUGGGUUCGUUUACUUCGUGAUUCGUUCUUCGAUAUCGUGCUUCAGGGGGUUUUCCGCAAUUGGUUGGGUUCAAUAUUCGUGAGUUGGAGCUCCAUUCGUGGUGGGGGUUCCUUGUUCGAGAAUUUCGGAUUUGGAUUUCUUAUAGACUAAAACAAGUUCUAUUGAGGCGGAGUGAUCGUUUGAACUUGGUUCCAGUGAAAUCGCUUAUGAGUUUUCGUUAUUACAACAUUUGGUCUGAUGUGGGGAUUAAACCGAGUUCGUUAUUGAGGUGUGAUUCGAGGUUCAAAUCGAGAGUUUUUGGAUCCGACUUUGUCUUUUGAUCACAUAUUUUGGCACAAUAAAAGCUUCAAUCGAGGUCCAAUUCUACUCUUUUUCACUUCUAUUUUAUUGUUUACUACGCUUUUGGUGUUUGGAUUAAGCUUCGGGUGUUGUUUGAUACUUGUUGGUGAUGCAUGUAUGUUGUCCGGUUUGGUGAUAGUUUGUUAUUUUGAUAUUGACUCGUUGUUUAUUUUCGUUGAAAAGUGAUUGUGGGUCGCUGAAAUAGAAAUGGUGAGUUGUGAAAAUUUAGUAUUAAAAUGAAAUUUAGGGACGGGAAUCGAAAAUUGAUAAAAGUGAAUAUUAUGAUAUUUUUGAUACAUUGUUGAUGUUGAAUGCGAUAUGUCGUCGAGUGGGUAGGCAAACAGCAAGCUCGGGUAGGCAAGUUUAGGAUUGGUGUAGUGUUGGAAUGAUUGGAAUAUUUGUUGAAUGUCUUGUUUAUCGUAUUUGGAAAGUGUAUUUAUUUAACCGGGGAAUGCCCCGAGGUAAUUUGUAUUUACCCACCGGGGAAUGCCCCGAAGAAUUUUGUACGUUAAGGAUGUUCGUGAUCAAGGCCCGAGGCGUCGGGUAAAGCAUAGGAGUAGUUUAGGAUUAGCUUAGAAUAGAAUAUUUCACAUUUUUUUUAUUUUUUUUAUUUUUCAGGACUGUAUAAUUGGACUGAACAUUAUAUUUUGGAUUAUUUGGUUUUGUUUGCUUGAGUGAUUGUUUUUGGGUGCUUUGUGUGGUUUAUGCAUUUGUAAUGUCAAUUUAGCCGAUACGCUCUGCCAAGCNNNNNNNNNNNNNNNNNNNNNNNNNNNNNNNNNNNNNNNNNNNNNNNNNNNNNNNNNNNNNNNNNNNNNNNNNNNNNNNNNNNNNNNNNNNNNNNNNNNNNNNNNNNNNNNNNNNNNNNNNNNNNNNNNNNNNNNNNNNNNNNNNNNNNNNNNNNNNNNNNNNNNNNNNNNNNNNNNNNNNNNNNNNNNNNNNNNNNNNNNNNNNNNNNNNNNNNNNNNNNNNNNNNNNNNNNNNNNNNNNNNNNNNNNNNNNNNNNNNNNNNNNNNNNNNNNNNNNNNNNNNGCCUUCUUUCUGCAACAAGUCCGUAGUACACGUGUUGUACACAACCUCUAGUUGAGUCACCCUUAUUCUAGGGGGGAGCCGUCGGUGUUAUGGAGUAGGUGGAAAGCAAAGCAGCCACUAUCGACCAUACGCUCCCCCGAACAGCCUUGUUAGUGAACCACAACGUAGGUCAGCCUUUAGGCCAUGCUUAUGUGCAUCAUAUUAAGACCUAGUGGGGCCCACUUGGUCCUUUGUAGGAGACUUACCUCUAAAGCAUCCCUACAUGCUAACUGCUGCAUUUUUAAGGAUAACGUGGUCAUUUGACGGACUGAUUUUUGAAAAAAAAAAUUGUUAGGAGUAAGGUGCGUAGGCAAAAACGAAAAAGAAAAAAAUAUAAAAAAAAGUGAGUCGAAAAGAAUGAAAAAAAAGGAAUGUCGUAGUUUAUUUUAGAAUUCUUUAUGGCUUUUGUUCUUCACAAUCCAAAAACUCAAAAAGAUUUUUUUUUACGUUUUGCAUUUGUCUUCUCAAAAUACCAUAAAAAAAAAGUUUUGUUUACCUUUUCAACUUCUUUGUCAAAAAAAAUAAAAAAAUACCAAAAAGAUUUUUUCCUUCAUAAUUGGUGGUGUCAGUCUUAGCUGAAAAUCCAAAAGUUUUUUUUCGUUUGUUUUUGGUAGUGUCUCCUAAGUUAGGUCAAUUUAUUAGUUAAUCGUUAAUUGUCCAAUCUGGACAAAUUACGCACCCCUGAUUCUCCUCUUUCGAGAGUGAGAUACGUAGGCAGCCUAUUGUUGGUUCGGGGAUCUUAUUUAAAAAAUCCAAAAAAAAAUAAAAAAAUUCUUCACUUUUCAUCUAGAUUAGGUGUUUCAUACAUGUCUUGAAAAUAAAAAUACAAAAUAAUAAUAAUAAUAAUAAUAAUAAUAAAAAUCCUUAAUAGUCGUAGGUUUUAUUUUUGGUUGAUCUUAUUCCAAAAAAAAAAAAUUCAAAAAAAAAAAUUUUUCUUCACUUUUUAUUUAGAGUAGGUGUUUCAUAAACAUCUUCAAGAGAAAACUACAAAAAGAUUUUCCUUUAAUAGUUUCAAGUUUCAUUUUCAUAUGAAAUUCAAAAUUGAAAACCCCAAAAGAUUUUUCUUUGGUAAUCAUAGGUUUCAUUUUGUAUAGGAAUUUUAAACGUGAAAAUGCAAAAAAGAGUCUAGUCUUUUGACAAUUUGUUAUGUUCUUCUCUUUUUAAAGUUUCAAGUAAAGAAAAAAGAAAGGAAAUUUAAUUGACCAUUUUGGCAAGACUGCCCGAACUAUGCAAGAUCUGAUUCAUGUACAACAUGAUACGUAGGCAACCUACUUUUGGGUUCGAUCUAAUCAUUUUAUUUCGUUGUUUUUCAUUAUUUUUUCUCUUUUAAGGAAAAAUAAAAAGACAUAAAGAAUGAUAAAAUAAAGGUAGAUAACGAGAGAAAAGAAAAGAACAGAGAUGGAUCCGAAAAUAAUAAUAAUAAUAAUAAUAAGUGUAGAAAAAAAAAGUAUAGACAAAAAUCAGGAUGAUGUUAAAAUGACCUCGCUACCCUCAAAAGCUGGUAGAAAUGAACAUGAAUUUAAGACAAUUUACCAAUGUGAUUCCCAUGAUUGUUGUGUGCCCUAAUCCUAAUGGAUGUCGUCUUUGAUGAGCAUAUUCUUUCAGAUAACAGUGGUAGGUUUGCAACACUCUGGCUAGUCACCCAUAUUUCACUAGAUCCAAAGCAAAACUCGUCAUGGCUAGCAGGGAGAUUGAAAAUUCACUCAUUGACCCAGAUCAGGAUCACAGGGAAGAAAGCUCUGAACACAAUGAUGAGGUAGUAAGGCUCAGGCAGCAAUUGAUUGAUUUACACCGGGCAUGGGCCAGUGGAUUGCCUCCUCCUCCGCUCCUUGAAGGUCUUGAAAAUAUCUCUAAUUGCCCACCGCUCUCUCAGGCGCAAUUCUCUGCUCCUACUGAGUCACCUGAGCACGCGCCAGGAUUCACUCCGCGACAUUAUUAUCCUGGCAGUUCUGGUGUGCCCUUGGCAGCUCCCCAAUCAAGACCAGCUGCUCAGCCAGCGCCACCAAUCACACCGGUAUUCGUGGCUCCGCCACCACAUGAAACUCUCAUAUAUGUUGUGCGUCCUACAAUGGAGGUUCCCAGGUCUGCCAGUGAGCCAGUACUGAAGGUUUCAGAUAGUCAGUAUUAUGCCCAGGAGCCUACUUUGCAAAUGAAUGAACCGUAUGGGUACACUCAACCGCCUGCAUUUCUAUUGGAUACUGAGAAACCUGUCGCAACAGAGGAACAGGAUAUCAUAGCCCAGAAAUUGAAAAGUUUAGAACAGACUAUGAGGAAUUUGCAAGGAAUCGGAGAUUAUAAGAGUGUUUCCUAUAAAUAUCUUUGCAUGUUCCCAGACAUCAACCUCCCCCUUGGUUUUAAGAUGCCUAAGUUAGAGAAGUAUGCAGGACACGGUGAUCCCGUGGCACACUUAAGACGUUAUUACAACCAGUUGAGGGCUGUAGGAGGAAAGAAAGAACUGCGCAUGGCCUUCUUUGGUGAGAGUCUUUCUGAUCUGGCAUCAGAAUGAUUUAUUGAUCGAGAUAUCGAUAAAUGGAACAACUGGGAUAAUUUGGCUUCUGAAUUUGUUCAACAUUUUCAGUAUAAUAUCGACCUGAUUUCGGACGAAAAAUCCUUGGUCAACAUUAAGAAAAAGAGCACUGAAGGUUUUAAGGAAUACGCGAUAAGGUGGCGUGAACAGGCCGCCAGGGUAAACCUCCAAUGAAAGAAAGUAAGUUGGUAGAAGUUUUCAUUCAGGCGCAGGAUGAGACCUAUUUUCAGCAUUUACUUGGCAAUGGGAAAAUCUUUUAUGGAAGUCCUCAAAAGGGGGGAGAUGAUAAAGGACGGAAUUAAGACCGUCCGAAUAGUGAGUUUUGCCGCAUUAAAAGCCACCGCACAAGCGAUUCAAGGUGGAUCUGGCGCAUUUGGAGGUUGAAAGAAGAAAGAGGACGUGGCGACCGUUGUAGCUGGAACCCGUUCCUAUCCUAAAAGACCACCUCGCCCCUAUCCCCAAUCCUAAGCCCAAGUCUACGCCCAAGCUCCAUAUAUUCCUCCCUACCAUUACUACCCUUCACAAAACCCUUUAUAUUUCAUUCCACCACCCCUGUACCCAGUAUAUAGCGUGCAGCCAUAUGCCCAAACCCCUUCUUACCCGCAGUGGUGCGUGCAAGCUCCACAAAAUCGCCCAUUCGCUCCACCAAAUUCCCAAAACCCCUCCAGACCCGGUCUUUAGCCUAGGCCCGAGUAUAAGAAGGAGAAGGCGGUCAAAAAUCAAUUCACACCUCUUGGGGAGUCAUAUGCUAGUUUGUUUGAUAGGUUGAGAAGGUUGAAGGUUUUGAGCCCAAUUCAAGGAAGGCUUUCAAAUCCACCGCCAAGGAAUCUCGAUUAUUCUUUAAGGUGUGCGUACUACUCUGAUAUGCCAGGCCAUAAUAUCGAGAAAUGCUGGCAUUUAAAGAGAGCUGUCCAAGAUUUAAUUGACANNNNNNNNNNNNNNNNNNNNNNNNNNNNNNNNNNNNNNNNNNNNNNNNNNNNNNNNNNNNNNNNNNNNNNNNNNNNNNNNNNNNNNNNNNNNNNNNNNNNNNNNNNNNNNNNNNNNNNNNNNNNNNNNNNNNNNNNNNNNNNNNNNNNNNNNNNNNNNNNNNNNNNNNNNNNNNNNNNNNNNNNNNNNNNNNNNNNNNNNNNNNNNNNNNNNNNNNNNNNNNNNNNNNNNNNNNNNNNNNNNNNNNNNNNNNNNNNNNNNNNNNNNNNNNNNNNNNNNNNNNNNNNNNNNNNNNNNNNNNNNNNNNNNNNNNNNNNNNNNNNNNNNNNNNNNNNNNNNNNNNNNNNNNNNNNNNNNNNNNNNNNNNNNNNNNNNNNNNNNNNNNNNNNNNNNNNNNNNNGAAUGAGAGAAGAUAAAGCCCAAGAAAGCACAAAGAAACCCCUAAUCACAGUACAAGGCGCCAGAAGGUAUGUUGAUUUAAGUCAGGAUAAACCUAAGUUGACAGUGGUGGGAGCUCUGAGUCAGCCUAUCUUGACGGUGAAAGGAGCGCUGGCAGCACCUAUUGUCCUCAAACCGGUGACCCAACCUCCGACAGUUGAUACAAAAAGAGUUCCCUGGAAUUAUGGGCGAACUGUGAUGACCUAUCACGGGAAAGAAGUUGUGGAAGAUGUAGAUGAGGUAAGGGGUUUGACUAGGUCAGGAAGAUGCUUCGUGCCUGAAAGCUUAAGAAAGUCCUAGCCAACGGUGAGUGGACCAUCAUCUAUCAAAAAGCCUAUCACCGAAGAAGAAGCCGAAGAAUUUUUGAAAAAGAUGAAAUUGCCAGAGUAUUCAAUAUUAGAUCAGUUGAAGAAAACUCCUGCUCAAAUUUCCCUUUUAUCUUCCUCACUUGUUUUUUACUUUCUUUUUUAUGAAAUGCACCUUUCUUCAUUUACAAACACUUAUGUGAUAAUAUUCCUAACAAAGAUUCCGUUUGACUUGACCGUAGGACAUCACCUUCCUCAAUGCAAUGGAAAAUAGGAGCACGGAAGCGAUGAAAGCACACUCCAAAGAGCACCGUGAUGUUUUACUGAAGGUAUUAAAUGAAUCAUAUGUUCCAAGGGAGAUUACAGUCAACCAAUUUGAGAAAGUGAUUGGAAAAAUCUUUGAGGUCAAUCGGAUCAGCUUUUCUGACAAUGAAUUGCCUGUUGAAGGUACAGGGCAUAACCGGGGCCUUUACAUUACAGUGAAGUGUGAAGAUUUCUACGUCACUCAUGUUAUGAUUUAUGGAGGUUCAGGUGCAAAUAUUUGCCCUAUUUCUACUUUGCAAAAGUUGAAUAUUGGUGCUGACAGGAUCAGGCCCAACAAUGUAUGUGUUAGGGCUUUCGAUGGUGCAAAAUCAAAUUCCAUUGGCGAAACAGAACUAAUGUUGACCAUAGGGCCUGUUGAGUUUGCCAUAGAGUUUCAAGUAUUGAAUGUAGAUUCCUCUUACAAUCUGUUGUUGGGAAGACCCUGGAUCCACAAGGCCAAGGCGGUUGCAUCUACACUGCACCAAAUGAUUAAGUUUGAGCAUGACAAGCAAGAAGUAGUUGUUCAUAGUGAAGGAGAUUUGUCAGCUUACGAAUAUUCUCCCUUGUCUCUUAUUAAAGCAAUUAACGUAGAGGAGACAUUCAUCUAUUAAAUUUUUGAUACAGUGCCAGUGAAUCGUAUCCUUGAAUGACAGGCUAUACCGGGACCGCAAUUGUCUUCUACUUCUAUCAUGAUGGUGAGUGAACUUUGGAAAUAUGGAUUUGAGCCAGGAAAGAGUUUGGGAGCAUUUCUGUAUGGUAUAGUUCAUCCCAUAUGUCCGAGUGAGAAUGUGGGCACGUUUGGUCUAGGAUUUAAGCCUACAGCUGAAGAUUUGAAGAAAGCCAAGGGAAGGAAAAAGGAAAUAUGGUCACUCCCUCGCCCGAUGCCACUACUCAGUGAAUCAUUUGUUAAGAGCGGUGUCACAAAGCAUAUGGAAUUUGAGGUUGAAUUGGUUUAUGACUUUCAGAACCUUUGUAUUGAAGUUGAUAUGCUCGAAGCAGGAGAAGGUACCAGUAUGGAAGACGCGCAAUUCAUAGGUCCAGUUGUCCGGCUCAAUAAUUGGGAAGUCACUCCUCUCCCCGUCAGGAGGGAGUUUUAAUAGUUUAUUUUGUUUUUCUUUCUGUUUAUCCGAGUUAUUUCAGGGUUGUAAUUUGGAUUUUAGUUUGUUUAUGAUAUGUUGGCAUCUAUGUUUAAUCCCUUCUAUCUUUUAUUUAAUGAAAUGCAAUGUCCCUUUUAUUUCGUGUCUAAUAUAUUUUGUUUUUCUUUUCUUACACAGUUCUCUUUAUGCUGAUUCUAAUGACAUGACAUGCAUGCGGAAUUUUUAGCCUGAUCUUAAAAUUCAAACUAAUCAAUAUGUAAUGAAGCAGGAUGGGGAAUAUGAUGAAGAAAAGGCACUAGAAGAAAUAAGCAAAGAGUUGGAACAGUUUGAAGACAAACCAAAUCCUAAUUUGAAUGAGACUGAGCCAAUAAAUCUAGGGGAUCAAGAAGAUGUUAGGGAAACUAAAAUCAGUGUACAUGCUUUGCCACAGCUAAAAGAUGAAAUGAUUCAAGCAUUAAUGGAUUAUAAGGACAUUUUUGCAUGGUCUUAUGAUGAAAUGCCUGGUUUAAGCACUGAAUUAGUGGCUCAUAAAUUGCCAACUGAUCCUACGUUCCCUCCUAUCAAACAGAAGUUGAGAAAGUUUAAAACAGAUGUAAGCAUUAAAAUUAAAGAAGAAAUCAUGAAACAACUUGAAGCUAAAGUAAUUCGAGUGGCUCGUUAUCCCAUGUGGUUAUCCAAUGUUGUCCCCGUACCAAAGAAAGAUGGCAAAAUUCAAGUGUGUGUUGAUUACCGUGAUUUGAACAGAGCAAGUCCGAAAGAUGAUUUUCCAUUGCCCAACAUCCACAUUUUGUUAGACAACUGUUCUAAACACGAGGUUGCCUCUUUUGUUGAUUGCUAUGUCGGAUAUCACCAGAUCAUUAUGGAUGAUGAAGACGCGGAGAAGACAUCUUUUAUCACACCAUGAGAAACUUAUUGUUAUCGAGUGAUGCCGUUCGAUUUGAAGAGUGCUAGAGCAACAUACAUGAGAGCCAUGCUAUGUUUCAUGAUAUGAUGCAUAAGGAGAUUGAGGUCUAUAUGGAUGAUGUGAUCAUUAAGUCAAAAAGUCAGGCCGACCAUGUUAAAGAUUUAAGAAAGUUCUUUGAAAGGCUUCGCANNNNNNNNNNNNNNNNNNNNNNNNNNNNNNNNNNNNNNNNNNNNNNNNNNNNNNNNNNNNNNNNNNNNNNNNNNNNNNNNNNNNNNNNNNNNNNNNNNNNNNNNNNNNNNNNNNNNNNNNNNNCCCCCGCUCAAGAAUAGAACGGAGGUGAUGAGUUUGCUUGGUAGACUGAACUACAUUAGUAGGUUUAUUGCUCAACUCACAACCACUUGUGAGCCCAUAUUCAAGUUGCUGAAAAAGAGUGCUGCGGUAAAAUGAACUGAAGAAUGUCAUGAAGCAUUCGAUCGAAUCAAAAGAUAUUUGUCAAAUCCGCCCGUGUUGGUACCCUCGAAGCCUGGUAGACCUUUGAUCUUAUAUUUAUCAGUCAUGGACAAUUCUUUCGGUUGUGUCUUGGGUCAACAUGAUGUUACAGGCAAAAAAAGAGCAGGCUAUUUAUUAUCUUAGCAAGAAGUUCACCGCAUAUGAGGCCAGGUAUACUCUUCUUGAAAGGACGUGUUGUUCCCUAACUUGGGCAGCACAGAAGUUGAAGCAUUAUCUCUCAUCCUAUACUACUUAUCUCAUCUCUCCUAUGGAUCCUUUGAAGUAUAUCUUUCAGAAGCCUAUGCCAACGGGUCGAUUGGCAAAGCAACAAAUAUUGCGUACCGAGUUCGACAUUGUAUAUGUGACUCUAACCGCCAUGAAAGCCCAAGCCUUGGCAGAUCAUCUUGAUGAGAAUCCUAUCGAUGAAGAGUACGAACCAUUAAAGACAUAUUUUCCUGACAAAGAAGUGUCGUGUGUCGAUGAAGUCGUUAUAAAUGCUGAUCCAGGUUAGAGGUUAUUCUUCGAUGGAGCUGUCAAUAUGAAAGGAGUAGGAAUAGGUGCGGUUCUUAUCUCUGAAUCGGGACAACAUUUCUCGGUAACGGCACAACUUCGAUUCUACUGUACUAAUAAUAUGGCAGAGUAUGAAGCCUGCAUUCUUAGUUUGAGGUUAGCUGUUGAUAUGGGAGUCAAAGAAUUAUUGGUGUUGGGAGAUUUGGAUUUGUUCGUCUAUCAAAUUCAAGGUGAUUGGGAGACACGAGAUUUGAAGCUCAUCCCAUAUCGACAUUGCUUACAGGAGCUAUGUCAGUGGUUUGUGUUAGUAAAAUUUAGGCAUAUUCCAAGGAUUCGUAAUGAAAUUGCUGAUGCUUUAGCCGCUCUGUCUUCAAUGCUCCAACAUCCUGACAAAGCCUACAUCGAUCCAGUGCAUAUACAAAGUCGUUAUCAACAUGCUUACUGUAAUGUGGUUGAAGAAGAGCUCGAUGGAGAACCUUGGUUCUUGGAUAUGAAGCGGUAUAUUCAGUCAGGAGAAUACCCAUCAUAUGCCACCAACGAUAAAAAGAGGACUAUUAGGCAUUUGGCUAGUGGAUUUUUCUUAAGUGGGGGAAUCUUGUAUAAGAGGACCCCAGAUCUGGGACUUUUAAGGUGUCUAGAUGUAAAAGAAGCCUCAGCAAUCAUGGUUGAAAUACACUCUGGAGUAUGCGGGUCGCAUAUGAAUGGUCAUGUCAUAUCAAAGAAGAUUCUUCGAGCAGGUUUUUACUGGCUUACUAUGGAAAGGGAUUCUAUUCAAUUUGUUCGGAACUGUCAUCAAUGUCAGGUACACGGUGAUCUGAUACGUUCUCCUCUUAUUGAGUUGCAUGCAAUGGCCUCUCCAUAGCCGUUCGUGGCUUGGGGAAUGGAUGUGAUUGGACCGAUUNNNNNNNNNNNNNNNNNNNNNNNNNNNNNNNNNNNNNNNNNNNNNNNNNNNNNNNNNNNNNNNNNNNNNNNNNNNNNNNNNNNNNNNNNNNNNNNNNNNNNNNNNNNNNNNNNNNNNNNNNNNNNNNNNNNNNNNNNNNNNNNNNNNNNNNNNNNNNNNNNNNNNNNNNNNNNNNNNNNNNNNNNNNNNNNNNNNNNNNNNNNNNNNNNNNNNNNNNNNNNNNNNNNNNNNNNNNNNNNNNNNNNNNNNNNNNNNNNNNNNNNNNNNNNNNNNNNNNNNNNNNNNNNNNNNNNNNNNNNNNNNNNNNNNNNNNNNNNNNNNNNNNNNNNNNNNNNNNNNNNNNNNNNNNNNNNNNNNNNNNNNNNNNNNNNNNNNNNNNNNNNNNNNNNNNNNNNNNNNNNNNNNNNNNNNNNNNNNNNNNNNNNNNNNNNNNNNNNNNNNAGGAAUUUUGAAGUUGGUCAGUUGGUAUUGAGACGUAUCCUUCCUCACCAGGUUGAAGCGAAAGGCAAGUUCUCCCCUAACUGGCAAGGUCCCUUCGUUGUGAAGAAAGUGUUGCCCAAUGGAGCCUUAUAUUUGACAGAUAUUGAAGGCAAAAUGGCAGAAAUGGCUAUCAAUGCUGAUGCAGUCAAAAGAUAUUAUGUAUGAUAUUUGAUCCUUUGUUGAUUUAAUUGCAUGUUUAGUACUUGCAUUUUUGAAGAUUGACAUGAUGAAGGCAUUUUAUUCUUCUAUCCAAACAUGGUGUCAUUCUUUGUUUACCCAUUUGAGCUUCGUUUUAUUUUUCUUUCAUAUCCCUCUUUUGAAUCAAAAUAGAGUCAAAGAUAAAUGUCAAGAAAAUAAGAAUCAAAGAAAGAGUUCGAAAAUAAAAUUAAAAAAAAUCAAAAUCGAAAAAUCAAAAUCAAAAUUAAAUCAAAACAAAGAACAAGCUGAUGGAACUACGUCCGACCUGAUUCUUCUCUCUCGGGAGUGAGCUACGUAGGCUGCCCUAUUUUGGGCUCGGUCCAACCAAAUAAAGAUCUAAGAUUCACCCAGUCAACAAAACUGGGGCAUGAGUUAAUGUGUUGUUUGAGUCGAUUCCAAAAGUUGUAAGUCCCACCCCCACUUCAAGUAUCGUUUGAGCCCUUUACCAUCCUUUUCUAACCUUAACCAAAAGCCAAGUUACAACCAAAGAAAGUCCUUCAGAUUAAUUUUUGAUAAUGUUAAGGCUAAGCAUUCAAUGGAUAUGAUGAUACAUUGUGAGGUACCACUUGUCUCCCUCAGUAUAAAAAAAAAAUAAAAAAUACAAAGAUGAGAGAGUCUUAUUGGUGAAAACCCCCGUGGGCAUCAUAAGGCGAUGGUGAGUCGAGAGAAAUGAAAAUGAGAGAGUCUUAUUGGUGAAAACCUUUGCAGGCACCAUAAGGUGAUGGUGAGUGGAGAGAAAUAUAAAUGAGAGAGUCUUAUUGGUGAAAACCCUCACGGGCACCGUAAGGCGAUGGAGAGUUCAAAGAGAAAAGUGAAAAGUGAAAAGAAAGAGAUUUGUUGGCAAAACUCAUUUAAGAUGUCGUCAAUCGAAUGUGAUGUAUGAGUCCAAUGGAUUUGAAGAAGCGGCUCAGCGACAAAAGGUACAAACUCAACAACAAAUGGGGAGUCUGUAUAGGAAGAUCAGGCAGCUCAAUCCAAAAUGCAUGUCAUACUCAUUGUAGUUGGUUGUCGUAUUCAGAUAAGUUUUCUUUUUGAAUAUGGGACAUUGCCCUCUUUCUUUCAUUUACAUAUUCAUGCUUUUUGUAUUUUUAGGUCAUUUAUCAAAAUAAAGUCACCAUCAUUUCUUUAUAUUUUAAGUCAAGUCUAUGUCAAAACAAGCGAGAAAGAAUUUCAAAAUUUACUACCAGUCUUUCCAAUUAUCCGAGGAAAAGCCAAGGAACAACACAGGAAAGAAAUAUGAUCGUAAUUCAACACAAAAAAAGGAAGUCUAUCAACCCACAGGCUAUUGGAUUCGUGGAAGCAUUCAGAUUUGGGAAAAGAGUGCACCUCAGGGGCAUGGUAAAAUGGAAGCUCAUUGUUCGAGUCGGAAAUCACUUCCCUCAUUAUAGAUCCGGGUCAAUGAUGCGGCAAGACAGGAUAAGUGUUAGCGAUUUGGAACAAAGAUGAAAGGAACGGGUGCUGGGCAUAUACCUGAAAAGCCAAGAUCUUCAAGCCACCACUAAGUUUUUAACUGACAAAUUUUCUUUGUUGAAACAGGGGCAAAUUCGUUUCACUUGAUUCAGCUACCAUUGGAAAUGCACAUCCGUGAGACUUUACUUUCUGUUCAGGACCCUCCUGAAAAAUGAGAUUUUACUUUCUGUUAAGGACCCUUCUGAAAAAAUGGGAUUUUACUUUCUGUUGAGGACCCUCCUGAAAAAAUGGGAUUUUACUUUCUGUUCAGGACCCCCCUGAAAAAUGGGAUUUUACUUUAAUAUUCAGGACCCUCCUGAAAAAUGGGAUUUUACUUUCUGUUCAGGACCCUCCUGAAAAAAUAGGAUUUUACUUUCUGUUCAGGACCCUCCUGACAAAUGAGAUUUUACUUUCUGUUCAGGACCCUCCUACAAAAUGGUAUUUUACUUUCUGUUCAGGACCCUCCUGAAAAUGGGAUUUUACUUUAAUGUUCAGGACCCUCCUGGAAAAUAGGAUUUUACUUUAUGCUCAGGACCCUCCUGAAAAUGGGAUUUUACUUUCUGUUCAAGACCCUCCUGAAAAAUGGAAUUUUGCUUUCUGUUUAGGACCCUCCUGAAAAAUGGGAUUUUACUUUAUGCUCAGGACCCUCCUGAAAAAUGAGAUUUUGCUUUAUGUUCAGGACCCUCCUGAAAAAUGGGAUUUUACAGCCAAUUCAGGAUCCUCCUGAAAAAUAGGAAUUUACUUCAUGCUCAAGACCCUCUUGAAAAACAGGAAUUUACUUGCAAUUCAGGACCCUCCAGAAAAAUGAGAUUUUACUUUAUGUUCAGGACCCUCCUGGAAAAUGGGACAACUCUUUCAAAAAUGAAAUACUACUUUAUUAUAAUUCUUGUUUGGGAUAAUUUUCGUUCUAGUUUUAAUUUUGGAUUUCAGGAGCCCGCCUGAAGAAUAGGGUGAUGAAAUAGCAAGUCAGAGGCCCGCCUGGAGAACAGAGUGAAAAAAGGAAAGUCAAGCAACAAAGUGAUGGGAUAACAAGUCAGGAACCCGCCUGGAGAAUAGGGUAAAGAAAUGAAAAGUCCAGCAACAAAGAGAAGCAAUCGAAAGCCAAGCAACAAGUUGAAAGAAAUUGCAAGUCAGGAGCCCGCCUGAAGAAUAGGGUGAUGAAAGUCGAGUCAAGAACCAAUAGAAGCUGUAUAGAUAGGAUUUUUGUAAUUUCAUUUUUGCUUUAGCGUGUAAUUUUCAUUUUUUGAUGUAAUGACAGAGCCGCGGACCGGAACCUCGAUGGAACCUCACUCGACUCUCGCACUCAGUAUAGUCCACUUCUCUUCCAAUCCUCUGAAAUAUCCAUGACUUGAUUCUCUCAUAAUUUGGGUAGGAAGGGUGUCUUAAGUCAAGACCCGAUGGUCCUUCUUCAUUCUGUUUCUUUCUUUGAAUAAUGGUCGGGUCAAAAUUUGGUCUCGCUGUCUACUUCUUUGCCUGAAAACACUUCGUGUUUACAUCCAAAGGGGACAUGAUGUAAACACCUAAUUUCGUCCCUCCCCGAUGUCAUUUUUACCCAUUUUAUUUUUACCCUACCGUGUACCAUCACCCAUGUUAUUGUACCCCCACAAAAUACAAGAAAAAUAUAACAAAAUCCCUAACAAAAUCUAUCCUAACUAAUUCUAUCUUAUCCUAACAACCUACCCAAUCAAAAUAAAACAUAUCACACCUACCCCCUACCCCACGUGACCUUACCUACCCUACCUUACCACUACCCACCCUCAAAAUAUAUACACACAUACUCUUACAAAAAAGAGGAAGGCAGGGAUCAGUAACCAAAAGAAAAAAAAGCAGAGGAACCAUCUUCUCCUUCAGGAACUCACGCACAAUUUCAAAAAAAAAAAAAACAAAUACAUACACCAUCAAGAAACCACCAUUAAAGCACACACAAACCUCACGAUUCAUACACACACACUUGCUCUAGCUGGAAAACACUUGCACGCACACACUCAGUAAGGAGAAACGAAAAAUGGAGGGCAUUUGACGGAAUCCGGCGAAGGAAUAGGGAAAGCUGCAAGAAAUCAAGCUUCUGUUCAAGCUUUUUCCGUCGACUUAAGUGCCGGACUCAGUUUCAGCGCCAGUUGUUCGAAUCAGUUUCAUCAUCGCCCAAACCUCUCCUGUUCAAGAUUUUUCCGGUGACUUAAGUGCCGGACUCAAUUUCAGCGCCAGUUGUUCGAAUCAGUUUCAUAAUAGCCCAAACCUCUUUAUUUUUCUUCGAUUUUCUGGACGAGAUCUAGCCGAAAUCCGACCGUUUUAGUUGUUUUUGGUCACUGCCAGUUCACUAGAGCUCCAUUUCUAUAGGAUUUUUCAGUUCUUUGCUGGAUUUAGAGCGCUUCGGGUUCGUUUACUUCGUGAUUCGUUCUUCGAUAUCGUGCUUCAGGGGGUUUUCCGUAAUUGGUUGGGUUCAGUAUUCAUGAGUUGGAGCUCCAUUCGUGGUGGGGGGUCCUUGUUCGAGAAUUUCAGCUUUGGAUUUCUUAUUGACUAAAAUAAGUUCUAUUGAGGCGGAGUGAUCGUUUGAACUUGGGUUCGGUGAAAUCGCUUAUGAGUUUUUGUUAUUACAAUAUUUGGUCUGAUGUGGGGAUUAAACCGAGUUCGUUAUUGAGGUGCGAUUCGAGGUUCAAAUUGAGAGUUUUUGGAUCCGACUUUGUCUUUUGAUCACAUAUUUUGGCACAAUAAAAGCUUCAAUCGAGGUCCAAUUCUACUCUUUUCCACUUCUAUUUUAUUGUUUACUACGCUUUUGGUAUUUGGAUUAAGCUUCGGGUGUUGUUUGAUACUUGUUGGUGAUGCAUGUAUGUUGUCUGGUUUGGUGAUAGUUUGUUAUUUUGAUAUUGACUCGUUGUUUAUUUUCGUUGAAAAGUGAUUAUGGGUCGCUGAAAUAGAAAUGGUGAGUUGUGAAAAUUUAGUAUUAAAAUGAAAUUUAGGGACGGGAAUCAAAAAUUGAUAAAAGUGAAUAUUAUGAUAUUUUUGAUACAUUGUUGAUGUUGAAUGCGAUAUGUCGUCGAGCGGGUAGGCAAACAGCAAGCUCGGGUAGGCAAGUUUAGGAUUGGUGUAGUGUUGGAAUGAUUGGAAUAUUUGUUGAAUGUCUUGUUUAUCGUAUUUGGAAAGUGUAUUUAUUUAACCGGGGAAUGCCCCGAGGUAAUUUGUAUUUACUCACCGGGGAAUGCCCCGAAGAAUUUUGUACGUUAAGGAUGGUCGUGAUCAAGGCCCGAGGCGUCGUGUAAAGCAUAGGAGUAGUUUAGGAUUAGCUUAGAAUAGAAUAUUUUCGCAUUUUUUAUAUUUUUUUUAUUUUUCAGGACUGUAUAAUUGAACUGGACAUUAUAUUUUGGAUUAUUUAGUUUUGUUUGCUUGAGUGAUUGUUUUUGGGUGCUUUGUGUGGUUUAUGCAUUUGUAAUGUCAAUUUAGCCGAUACUCUCUGCCAAGCGACCGUGGUCAAACCACGGGAUCGAGGGGUGCGUAACACCUUCCCCUCGGUCAAAGAAUUCAUUAUUCGGAAUCUCUACUCGCAAACUAGUUUAAAGAGUCAAAUGGUUUUGAAAAGGAUUUUCCAAUGGUGACUUGGCACACCAGAUUAUGCCAAGUGGCGACUCUGAAUAAAAAAUGUAAAUAAUCCUUUUCCGAAACAAAUUUUCAUUUCUUGUCACUUAAAUAAUAAAACCCUUUCGAAAUUAAAAAUAUAAAUCAUUUUGGAGUACGUAAAAAGGGGGUGUGACAAUUGCCUAAUGUAUAUGUUAUGCUGUCAUUGUACGAGUUUUGUAAAUUAAUGGAUAUAAUUGUAACAAUUCAAUUCACCUAUGGGGGUGUCUUUUUGUCAGACCCUAAUUUAAGGUAUGCAAAUGGAAUUCGUAUUCCAGAUAAAAUUAGAGUAGAUGUUGAUGAGUUUCAUGUUAUGUUGUUUCAUAACUUAGCAACAGAUUUAGAUGUGAAAAAAAUAUAAACCUUUUGGUGUAGAGUAAACAAAAAAGGCUAUUAUUACAAGUUAGAAAAUGAUGUUGAUGUUUUAAGCCUUAUCAGUAUUUUUAAAAAAGGAGAUUUAGUUGAUGUAUAUGUUGUUCACCAAAUUAAUGAACCUAUACUUGUUAAUGAUGAUGUGGCAGCCACUCCACCAUUGUUAGUACUUAGUAAUGGUGAUGUGGCAGCCCCUUUUGAACCUGAUAGGGUUGAUGUGUCUUCAUCUCAUCCAUUAGAUAUAAAUGAAGAUGAAUAUAUAAAUGAAAAUUAGCCUCCUAGGGCAGAAAAAGGAAAAGCUAAGGUUUCUUAUGAAGACUUAGGUGAAGGUCAAUUUAAUGAUUUCUACGCAUACCAUUUCCAAACAUCUGAUUCGGAAUUAGAUUUUGAUUGGACUGAUUUUGAUGGUGAUUCACUUUAUGAUGUUAAUGAAAACAUUGAAAAUUUGAGUGAUUUUGAUGAAGAGUUGCUUCAAGAUAGGAAGGCUAACAUUGAAAAAUAAGCAAAAGAAAAGACUGAUAGGGUAAAUCUAGAUGAGAUACCAUCUAGACCAGUAGGUAUAGAUGCUGGUUUUGAGGAUAUUUGUAAGAAAAAGAGGGUUAGAUAUGAAGGUAAAAUGGGUAGGGAUGACCCUUAUUUUGAUAGUUCAAAUUCGGGUAGUGACAUUAGUGAUAGAGAGGAAGGAGAUCCUGUUGAUGAUGAUGAAGUAGUAGAUCCCACUACCUAAAACUUCUUCUAGCAAGAUCUACUUUGAUAAAACUGCAAAGAAGGUAUGUUUUCAGUUGUAUAUGAUUUUUUUGAAUGCUAUUGAGUUUAGAGAGGCACUGCAGAGUUACUCUAUUGAAAAAGGUGUGAACCUUAAGUUAAAACCUAAUGAGAAGGAAAGAAUACGGGCUAAGUGUAAGCAUAAGGGUUGUCCUUGGGUUAUUCUUGAAAGUGUUGAUGACACAUAAUUUUUUACUGUGAAAACUUACUUCCCUGUACACAAGUGUUGUAAAAGGACAAGAAAUAAGAUGUGCAACCCUUUGUGGAUUAGUAAGCAUUACAAUGAUAUGAUUAUGAGUGAUCCAUCAAUAAAAUUGCAUCAGAUUCAAGCACUUUUAAGAAAGGACUAUGGGAUGUAUGUUAGUAAAACAACCUGUAGAGAGGCAAAAAUCAGAAUUAUGAAUGAACAUUUUGGUGAUUUAGUUGAAGAGUUUUCUAGGUUGUAUGACUAUGCUGAACAGUUGAGGACCACCAAUCCUGAUACCACUGUAUCUAUUAGGACAUCCAAAAAUGCAAUUCCUGGAAAAGAGGUGUUUAUGGGCAUUUACAUUUAUCUUGGGGCCUUAAAAAGUGGAUGGAAAGAGGGAUGCAAAAGAAUAAUUGGUUUAGAUGCUGCCUUUCUCAAGGGUGUAUGUAAAGGUAUCUUGUUGUCUUGCAUUUUCAAAGAUGAAAAAAUUCAAAUGUACCCUGUAGCAUGGGCUGUGGUUGAUAAAGAAACCAAGGACAUAUGGUCAUGGUAUCUUAGGUGCAUCAGCCAUGAUUUGAAACUUGAAGAAAAUGGGGGUGAAGACUUGACAGUAAUGUCUGAUAUGCAGAAGGUAUGACUCUUCAUAUGUUCAUAUUUUUCAGUUAUUUAUUAGUUUGUUGCAAUGAUGUCUUUAAUGUUUAACUACUGUUUUACAUGUUUUGAUAGGGUCUUCAUUUGACACUUACUAAUAUACUGCCAAACGCUGAGCAUAGAUGGUGUGCUAGACAUAUAUGAGCUAACUGGAAGCAGAUUUGGAGUGGUGAGGAAAGGAGGAAAAAAUUCUGGCAAGUUGCAAUGGCCCCAUUUGAAGUGUACUUGCAAAAGAAACUUAAUAAACUAAGUGAGUUGGGUGUUGAAAUUGUGGAAGAUUUGCUCAAGUACAACAAAGAGGCAUGAUGUAGGGCCUUUUUUAAGGAACAUAGCAGGUUCAAGACAAUUAUCACCAUGUUGGAGGAAAUAAGAUGCAAAGUCAUGGAAAGAAUGAAUCAAAUGAGAGAUUUUUCUGAAAAGUGGAUCAUUGAUGUAUCACCAAUGGCUAUAGAAGUUCUUGCAGAGAAUGGAGAAUAUGCAGCUAACUGUGAGGCGAGGUUUAAUGGUGAUAUGGGUUUUGAGAUUGGUGAUCCACCUUAUACACAUGUUGUUAAUAUGAAGAGGAAGCAAUGUAGUUGUAGGUCAUGGCAACUAAAGGGAAUUCCUUGUGCACAUGCAAUUGCUGCAAUGCAUUACAAGGGAUGUAAUGUGGAGUCAUUUGUUGAUCACUGGUAUCAAAGGGAAAUAUACCUAAAGGUAUAUGAUAAGUAUAUUCAACCAAUGAAAAAUAUUAACAUGUGGCCAAGAAGCACAAGACCAUCAAUUGAGCCACCUGAGAUUACUUUCAUGCCAGGAAGUCCAGGUAAAAAUAGAAAGAAAGCUAAGGAUGAAGCUGUUAAGAAGAAGUUUGGAAAGGCUACAAGAAAGGAAAAAAAGAUGACAUGUUCUGUGUGCAGGUGUAUUGGACACAACAAGAAAGGAUAUCCAACUUUGGUAAGCUAAAUCUUUUUUAAUUGAUGAAUUUUACUCUUUUUGAAUGUGUUUUUGAUCUUUCCAUUUUUUUUUUUGUAGAAAAAGAAUUCCAGUAGUAGCUGUGGCAGUCAACCAAGUAUGCAAGCCAGCACUAGUACUGCAGCUGCUGCUGAUGUGAGAGAUGUAAAUGCUUCAACAAUUGCUGAAGAGAUGCCUGUAGAUGCUAAAUCAAGCAACAGAAGGCCUGCAGGAAGGCCUUCAAAUGCUCACAGUGCACCAAGAUAUUCAGGAAGGCCUUCAAAUGCUUACAGUGCACCAAAAACAGUGGGUGUUACUGCUACACAAUCUACAAGUCAGCAGUCUACUAGUGGUAUUGGUGCCCAAAAGAGGAAGACUAGUACAACUUUGAAAGGUAGUGCAAAUGUGACAUAUAAAAGACCAAGGCAAAAGAAGCACGUUUUGGUGUGCUGUUUAGACCAAGUGGCAGUGUGGUAGAUAAGGUAAGUUUCAUAUAAUGUACUUUACAUUUAACUGAUUUUAGUUAGUGCAUGAAUAACUUUUUUUUUUACAAUCUGGAAAUACUGAUAGAGUAUUGCAUAGUCCAACACUUAUUAGUUCAGUUCCAACCAAUAUUAACUUGGUUUUCAAACCAAAUGGACUAAGGUGGAGAGGUGGAGCUGCAGUAACUCAAAGACAGCUACAACAACAGAGUAACAAAAGAUCAAAGGCAAAAUUAUCUACAACCACUCAAGCCACAUCAAACACUCAAGCCACCAAGAAUCAGUCCACAACAAGAACUCAAGGAACACAAUAGUGUAAUUCUCUUUCUGUAUUGAUCCCAAGUGUUGUUAAGAUAAUUUUUUAAGACAUGGUUCAUUUCUCAUUUAAGAUGUUGUUAAGACAAGCAUUUUCAUGUCAACUCUUGUUAAGACAUUAUAUAUUGCACAUUUCUAUGUUAGCAAUGGUGUUUGUCAUUGAAUUUUAAUUUAAUUUCAUUGUACAUACCAACUACAUAGAUCAAGCCAUCUUAAAUAAUACAACAGAUAGAAACCAGAUGACAACAAUAAUGAUAACAGUGAUAUCAAUACUAAUUCUUGGUCUUUCACUUCCGUGUCUUCCAUAUCUUUCCGGUCCUUGUUGUCUUCGUUGCCUUCGAUGUCUACCUUUAUAUUGUUCAUUUUCAUUGGCCCAUCGAAAGAAUCCACAACCAGUACCAACCUGAUAUUUUUGAUAGCCCCAAAACAUUAUUCCAGGAUUGGUUGGUGUUCUUGACAUCUUAAGUUCCGCGUAAAGUCCACAGUAACAAAUUCGAACUGUCAUGGUAUUGCAAAAAAUUACAUAAAAAAUUAAAUUUCCAAUAUUACAAGCAUAGCAGGAAAAAAAAAUUAAAGCACAAGAACUUGAAGAGAGAAAAAUGUAGAAGAAAGGAUGAAAAUAAAGUUGUUGAAACAAAUAAGGAAGGAGUAUUUAGGUAGCAUUUAUAGUGCACUUUUUGACCGUUGGGGCCCUUUAUUAAUUGGCUGACGCGCGGCUGGAGUGUAAAACACACGCUCCUAUGUGGUCCCAGCCACAUAGGAUGCCACAUCAGAAAUUGUGUUUAAAAAAUUGUUUUUUAAUGGAUUCAGGGGUUCAGAUGACAAACAUGUAAGUAGAAGUGUCCAACUUACAAAACUGAUAUAGUACAGGGGUCCAGAAGAGCAUUUUGCCAAGGAGUAAUAUAUGCAUCAAAUCGCAUACUUCCUCAGCCCUCCGUCCCAUUUUACUCGUCCCAAUUUGACAUUGUACAGUGAUUAAGAAAAAAUAAUUAAUAACAUGGCUACUUUACUAUAGUAUCUCUAUUAAAUGAUAUUUAUAUUUUAAUUUGGAGAUAAAAUAAUUAAUACUAAGGGUAAAAAGAAAAAAAAAUUAUCUUGUUUUGAUUAAUGAAAAAUGACAAAUAAAAUGAAAAAUAAAAUUAGAAAAUUUGGGACGAGUAAAAUGGGACGAAUAGAGUAUAAGAAUGUAGAAUGAUGGAAUUGGUACCAUGCCAACCAAUUAGUUGAUGGUUUCUUCACGGAAACCAACUUUUAGUUUAACUAACUAAUAAAUUUCUAUUAUAUAGAAGAGGUGGUUUCGACCACCUCUCAUGCAGUUACCAAAAAACUUCUUCACUCUCACUUAAUUACAUAUCAUGCCCCAAUAUAUAAUAAUUUCAUUGUUUCAUCAUAAUGAUUUAAAUUUUUAAUAUAUUCUAUUAAUUUAUAUUAAUUAAUUAUAACUACAUAUUGGAAGUAAAAAAAAUUAUUUAUUUAUUUAAUUGGCUAUCAUGUUCAAAACUAAUUUGUUACCACNNNNNNNNNNNNNNNNNNNNNNNNNNNNNNNNNNNNNNNNNNNNNNNNNNNNNNNNNNNNNNNNNNNNNNNNNNNNNNNNNNNNNNNNNNNNNNNNNNNNNNNNNNNNNNNNNNNNNNNNNNNNNNNNNNNNNNNNNNNNNNNNNNNNNNNNNNNNNNNNNNNNNNNNNNNNNNNNNNNNNNNNNNNNNNNNNNNNNNNNNNNNNNNNNNNNNNNNNNNNNNNNNUUAAUUAAUUGCAACUAAAUAUUUAAAGUAAAUCAAUUUUAUUAUUUUAAUUGACUUUUAUAUAGAAAAUUAAACUUUUUAUUUAUUUAUUUAUUUUAGUAAAUUUAAAUUUUAAAAUUAUUUUUUUAUUAUAUAUAAAUACUAAUAUUUAAACUUAACUUUAAAAUUUUAAAGUACAAAAUUAAUAAAUUUAAUUUAAUAAAAUAAUUUUUUAAUAAAUAUUUUCUUAAAAUUUGUGUUGGGCCAAUAUGUAUCAAGUUAAAAAAUAUAUAUAUAGUGAAAUUUUAUUAUUGUGAAAGAUAAAUAUAAUGCACUAUCUAAUAAUGUUUAAUAAUAUCAUAUUUUUCAUAUGCAAAUAUAGCAUCCCGUAUUUAAUCAAUAUACUAUUUCGGUGAAUUAUCGACGAUUACUACUGGAUAUGAUAAAAUUAUAUUAAUUUUUAUAAUAACAACAUAAUCAAUUGCUCUUAAUUAAUUAUUAUGAAUCAUCUAGAUAUUAAGAAAAUAAAUAAUAUUUAAUGAAAAAUAAAAUAGACAUAAAAUGCGAAAUUAACUCUUAAUAUUUUAAAUUAAAUUUUCGUCUUUCGAACAAUGAUUUUACUAUAUCACUCCUUAUUAUAAGUCAUUUAUGUAUUANNNNNNNNNNNNNNNNNNNNNNNNNNNNNNNNNNNNNNNNNNNNNNNNNNNNNNNNNNNNNNNNNNNNNNNNNNNNNNNNNNNNNNNNNNNNNNNNNNNNNNNNNNNNNNNNNNNNNNNNNNNNNNNNNNNNNNNNNNNNNNNNNNNNNNNNNNNNNNNNNNNNNNNNNNNNNNNNNNNNNNNNNNNNNNNNNNNNNNNNNNNNNNNNNNNNNNNNNNNNNNNNNNNNNNNNNNNNNNNNNNNNNNNNNNNNNNNNNNNNNNNNNNNNNNNNNNNNNNNNNNNNNNNNNNNNNNNNNNNNNNNNNNNNNNNNNNNNNNNNNNNNNNNNNNNNNNNNNNNNNNNNNNNNNNNNNNNNNNNNNNNNNNNNNNNNNNNNNNNNNNNNNNNNNNNNNNNNNNNNNNNNNNNNNNNNNNNNNNNNNNNNNNNNNNNNNNNNNNNNNNNNNNNNNNNNNNNNNNNNNNNNNNNNNNNNNNNNNNNNNNNNNNNNNNNNNNNNNNNNNNNNNNNNNNNNNNNNNNNNNNNNNNNNNNNNNNNNNNNNNNNNNNNNNNNNNNNNNNNNNNNNNNNNNNNNNNNNNNNNNNNNNNNNNNNNNNNNNNNNNNNNNNNNNNNNNNNNNNNNNNNNNNNNNNNNNNNNNNNNNNNNNNNNNNNNNNNNNNNNNNNNNNNNNNNNNNNNNNNNNNNNNNNNNNNNNNNNNNUUAUAUAUAUAUAUACUAUGAAUAAAAAUUUUCAUGAUAUUUUCUUUAAAAAAUAAAAAUUACUACAUAUAUUCAAAGGACAAAAGAGUAAAAACAUCCAAGAGAUAAAUGUAGAGAAAUCAAGAAGCACUAAAUGGAUUAUUAACAUUUAUAACAUUCAACACAUUUCUAAAUGUUUCCAAAUUCUUCUUGAAUCAACACAUACACAUAAUAAAAAUAAUAAAUAAUAAUAAUUAUAUUUUACUAUAUCAACUCUAAUUAAUUAUUAUAAUUAUUUAAGCAUUGUGCCACAUAAGUUGAAAUAGAAAAAAAUAUUAUAAAUCACAAUGAUAAAAAGUUUAAAUUAUUUUAAAAAAUAUAAUUGGCUAUCGUCAACACAGAACUUUGUACAAGGAGAGUAGCCUAUAUUAUUCAAAAAUUACAUAAAAAGUAUUAUUAUAAAUUACAAUAGUUAACAACUUAAAAUAUCUAAAAACAACUUAAUGUAUUAUAUAUUUCAAAAAAAUUACAUGAAAAAUACUAGAAAUCACAAUAAUUAACAACUUAAAAAAUUUAAUAGAUAUAAAAUAUUUGGUCGACUCUUAAAAUUAUAUUAGUGUCACUAAAAUUGAAAUAGAAGAAAUGUAUUAUAAAUCACAAUAAUUAAAAACUUAAAUUAUUUUUAAAAUAUAAUUAACUAUCAAUGCCACAAAAAUUUGGACAAGAAAAGUAACGUAUAUUAAUUUGAAAAUUACAUAAAAAAUCUUAUAAAUUACAAUAGUUAACAAUUUAAAUUAUCUAAAUACAUAUUAAAAUAACAUAUGUUGAACUCAUGCUAGAUUUCGCAUGAAUCCUAGAAAACAUAUGCAAUCCUUUUAUUUAAAUAUAUCAAGAUUGAAAAAAUAAAUAAAUAUUUUAAUGUUGAACCCGUGCUGACAGGGGUCAUGCUCCUCUAGUGCUAGUACAAGUUAAAGGCAAGAAGGGAAUAAGCUUUGGACUAAGGCUUUUUGACAAACCAUGGAAUUAAAGUUUUAAUAAAUACCGCUCGCAGAAACAAUGCUAAACAAUGGCCUGGUUUUAACUAAUUCAGUGGGCAUUAUCUUAUAAUGCUAGUACAAAAGAAACCCCUACUACUACUAAUACUUUUCAUGGUUGAAUUUUAUGAAAUGUUCAUGUUAAUAAACCGUGUUUAUAAAGGAUAUUAAGUAGCCGUUUGAGCAUAAAAAUUAUUUUAUUCUUUUGGAAAAUUAUUUUAAUUUAGUGAAAAAAGUGAAAACAAGAUGCGUUUGGCCAUGAAAAUUCCAAAUACAAUUUCGGAAUUGUAUUUGAAAAAGUGAAAACAAGUUUUUAAUUUUUUCACUCAUACUUCUUUUACAAAAUUUCAAAAACAACUUUAAUUUAUAUUCAUGGUCAAACACAACUCCAACUUCAACUCCAAAAAAUUAUGAUUUUCAUAGUCAAACAGGGCCUAAAUAAGUAAUCGUACUUCCAGUGUACUCUAGCUAGCUCAUUUAAUUUGAUUUUAUUCACACUUUUUUUUUUUUAAAAUCACUUUGUUAUAAGCACUGCUUCAGGUUUGACCAUCAUGCAGCUUAUAUUCUUCUGGUAUUUCAGCAUAUAUAGUGAGGUCAAA
Molecule: long non-coding RNA, 73985 nt
Filed under: Capsicum annuum
Lineage: Eukaryota; Viridiplantae; Streptophyta; Magnoliopsida; Solanales; Solanaceae
Description: long non-coding RNA (CANN_LNC000135)
Source: RNAcentral